UUCCGCUCUAGCGCGGGCUUUUGAGCUCUGGACACCAGUUUGUACCUAAGUACCCAAUUCUAAACCAAAAUCUCCAAAAUAUCACUCUUCCAUCUUUUAAAUCAAAAUCUCAUACAAAGCAUAAAACAAACCCAUAAACGCACCAAUUUCAGAAUAUUUAACUACAAAUAAAUGUAAACCCCCAAAUUAAGAACAAGCAUAAUCACAUAACAUACAAUCAGCUGCAUCUUCUUGCAGAAAUCAUUAAAUCAAGGUUUUACCUUUAAACCCCUCUUUCAAUCUCUUCCAUUGACUAAUCAUGAUUCAAACACCAUUAGGACUUUGCAAAUCAACUCACCCAGUCAUACAAGAAAAACAAAGAAAUCAAAUUUUACAUGUUGUAUUGACUGAACAAGAGGAAUAAAAGUAGAUUGCAGCUGUAAAAAUUCAAACUUGAGUCUUGGUUUUGGUUGUUGAAUGUUGAGUGUUGUUGCUGACUGUUUGAAGUCGAGGGGCAGAAAACGGGCCGCGCGGUGGUGGCGGCUCCUCGCUGCUGUCGCCGGUAGUCGGAGCAAAGAAGAGUGGGAAUCGGUGGUCUCGGGGCUAGGGCUCAGACGGCGCCUCCGUUCGAAAGCCGAGCGGUGGUAGCUGGCCGGUGGUGUGUAGGUGUGCCCUAUUUUCAGUCGGAGAAAGAGAGUCGGGGAGGCGGCUAUAGUCGUCGGGGAUUGAAGAGAAAUACAAGGGAGGUGUCUAGAUCUAGUGCUCGGCGGCGGCGGCGGCUCCGUCGUCGUUUCAUCCGGAGCAAAGGAAAGGGAGGCUUUGGGGCGUGCGGCGGUGGCUGGCUUCACUAGCUGCUGCUGCUGCUGCUCGCCGGAAUCGGAGAAAAGGGAUUCGGUGUUGGGGAUUUAGGGCUGAGAAGAGAGGGAAGUCGGAGGAGAUAAGACGAGAGGCGGCGGUGGCCGGCUCUUCGCCGCUGCUACCGUCGACUGUGGAGUCGAGAGAAAUGGGGGCGAGGGAGAUGACUGACCGGCGGUUCUUCGCCGGAGGAGACAAGAGGUGAGGAGCGAGGGUGUGUUCCUGGUGACUAGUGUGUGUGAGGAGGAGAGGGACAAAAGGGGUGGGGGAGACGCAGGUGUGAGUGAGAGGGAGUGAUAAGGGGUUAGGGCUUGGACCUUUGGGUAUUUUGGGCUUUGUUUUGGGCUGCGUUUUAUUUCAAUUGGGCUGCUCAUAUUUUAUUUUGGGCUGCGAAUUUUUAAAACAAAAACAUGGGCUUCCACUUAAUUGUUAGACUUCUUAAAUUGAUUUAUUAAUUUGACUCUUUAAUUUGAGUUUAAUUAAUUAUUGUUAGAAAAAAAUUUGCAUAAUAGUAUUUUUCUUAUUAUGUGCAUAUGUUAUAUAUUUAUUUAUUAUACGUUUCAAGAACAAGGGAAAUUUGCAUCAAAAUUUUGGCAUAAAAUCAUUUAUGAUUAAAUUGACUUUAUUAUUAAUCCAAUUAUUAAGAAAAUCGAGUAAAGAUAUUAUUGGUGUCCUUAGCUCAAGAGUUAGUUUUCAAUUAUUAUUUAUUAAAUUUUGAAAAUUCGGCUAAGUGAAUCAUAGGAUGAUAAGCACUUCACUAUGACUUAAGAUUAGAUUCAGAAGACCUAUUAAGAUUAUAGAUUCCUUAUAGGCUUUGUGGAUCGUGAGGACUAGCACUGCUAUACUGUAACACCCCGCAGUUUUCCUUAUUAUUUAUUUUGAGGAUUCGCUAUUAGAGUAUCGAGAUUCUAGCAUUAGCUUAUUAGGGAUGAGAAUUUUUUUUAAAUGAGAUUGAGAUGUGGAUAUUUUUGAAGUUGAUGAUAGAACUAGUGGGUGAAUCUUUAAUAGAAUGAAUUUUUGAUAGAAAUGCUGAUUAAAUUGAGGAGAUGAUGUAGUUUAUGUUUCCGAUAAAGAAAGCUUAAUUAUUUUUUAGAUGAUUUAUAGUGUUAAGUUAAGAGGAUACCUGGCUAGAUAUAGAGCCGAGGUGAGUGAGUGAGACUUACUAUAGAGAUAUAGUCGGAUUCGGGAGAUGAGUAAAUUGACGUGAGAUCUAGACUAUUUUUUUUUUGUGACAUUUGUGUGAUUUGUGUGAGAUUAAUUGUUUGACUGUUAUGUGACUUAUUUGUUACGUGCGCUUGUAUGACUGAGUGAUUAUGAUGUUCUUGAGAAUUAUAGCAUGUGAGAUUUACUUUGAAAUCUUUUACGAACGAGAUUUAUUUUAAACGGUGAAUAAUAAUAUCACUAGUGAAGAUAUAAUUUUUUUUAAUGAAAUUUCUCGGGAUUAUUUUUUUGAGAUAAAUGUGAAGUGAAUUAUGUGUGUGCACUAAUUAUUAGUGUUAUUUUAUUUUGGCCACAUGAGUGCAUAAGAAUAGUUUUUAUUUUAAUCAGUGAGUGAUAUUACAUGAUUUAAUUUUACUACACAUUCCUACACUCACACAUACAUUAUUUUAAUGAAUUUAGCAUGUGUUUUAUUUAAACAAGUGGCCAAGUGGGCAAGUGGGAUUUAAUUAAACAUUUAUCUAAUUACUAACUUAGUGAGCAAGCAUACUACACUAAACAAAACAAUUUUUCUCUCCCAUUUCCUCCCCAUUCUCAUGCCCUCUCUCACUCUCUCUUCUCCCUCACUUCUUUCUCUCACUUCCUCCAUUGCUGAGCAAUGUUCAAGCUUCCAAGAUCACAUUUCCACCAUAGAUCUUCACUAAAUCAAAUCAAAAACUUCUUUUCCUUUGAAUCAAGAGCUAGGUUGAUGGAGUUUCAAGCUUGAAGUUAGAGAGAAGAAAUUGUCAUUUCUCUCAAAAUCUUUGAGUAAGUGUUUACAUCUCAUAGAUCUAGACUCUAUGGUGUUAUAUAUGUAUGCUUGAAGCAAGAAAACACCCCCUCUUCUCUUUCUUAGAUUUUCAAAAAUUUAGGGGUUUUCCCCUUCAAAAAAUUUUCUUAUUCUUUUCUUAAUUUGGCAUGAGAUCUAUGCUUAUUGAGGUGUUUUGAGAUGAUUUCUAUGUGUAUAGAAAGGUGUUAGAAAGAACUAUGGAUUUUGAGUUAGUUUAGUUUACCUAAAAUUUGGAUAUUUUGAUUCUAGGGGUUAAUUGUUAAAUUGAUGGAUGAUAACUGCUAUUGAGGGUAUUAUUAUGAUAUUAGAUGGAUUGGAUUGAUGAUUGAGAUGGAUGGAUGGAACUUGAUGUGAGUUAGUUUGUUGGAAAUUAGGGAUAUUUGGUUAUGAGCUUCAUUAUGUAAAUUGAUGAUUUAUAUAUGCUAUUGAGAUGUCUAAUAUGAUGAAUUAUGAGUGAGAUUGAAGAUUGUAAGUGAUUUGCAAAUUUCGGUAAGAGUUAGUUUGAUGUGAUUUGGGUAAAACUUAUUCUAUGGUUUAAUUGAUUAAUUGAUUGGUUAAUAAUGCAAUUAGAUGAUUCAAUUUGAUUAAUCAAAUAUUGGAUUAAUGAUUUAUGCAUGUUUGUAAAUUUUCAAAAAGUUUAGUUUGAUAUAAAUUAAGGCUUUUUGAUUUAUGUGUUAAUUAUGCAAAUUGGCUAAGUUUAAUUGUUAUUAAGCAUGAUAGAAAUGAUAAUUAGGGAUCAAUUUGGUUAAUUGUUAAGAAUAACUAAAAUUGGUUAAGUUUAGUUUACUAAUAAUUGGGAACUUUUGAUUAAUGAGAUAAAUACUUGAAUUGAUGGUGUUUAUGUGUUAGUUAGACUACUAGCAAGGAGAAAGCAUGAUUAAAUUAUUUAUUUAUAAUGAGUUAUGAAAAUUUCUCGAGUUUAGUUUGCGUGCAUACAUGAGAUCUUGUAUAUAAGAUGAGUUAUGAGUCAAGCAUGUCUAUAUGUGGCUAAUUGAUGAUAAGUUGAGCUUAUAUAUGCGAUAUGAGACGAAAUGAAUCAUCCCCUAAAAACCUAUGUCUUGACGAAUGGGAGCUAAAGAAGGGGAAGCCGAGUUUGAAUUUUCUUGAGUUAUAUGAUCAUGUAUUUAUAUUAUUGUGAAUUAUGUGAGCUUAAUUUGAAUUUUUGAGAAAUUUUCAUCGAAGAAAUCCGAAGUUUAGGUAUAAUUGCUUUUAUGGUCAAGUUUGGAGUUAUUUUGAGACCUUUUUAAAGGCCACUGACCUACUGUUUUUAACGAGUUUAUAAUACUCAAAAGUCUUGAAAAUUUUAUAGCAAGUAUAUAUGAGAAUCUCGAACACCUCGGUAAAAUUUCAACUCAUUUGGACCUCGUUUACUAUUUUUCUAAAAUAUAAAACCCCAACUACAAUAUUCUAACGAAAAUAUCGAAGAGCAGCCAAUAGAGUCACCUUUUUCAGUAGCUUCCCCUAACGUUUUGAUUUCCAAAUUUUUAUGGUAAAGAGGUUAUUGUGUUAGAUAGCUACUCACGAAAUUUCAAGCAUUUUCGACAAUGUUUACUAUUUUUCAAAAAUCCAAACUUUCAGUUGCACAAAACUGUCGGAUAUGGUAGACUGUAGGAGACCGGCCAUAUCUCUUCAAUCACUUGGAGUUUUUCAAUCUACUUUUUUUUAAAUGAAAAUAGACUCAAAGAGGUUUUCAUUGAUAUGAGUCACGAACCCAAGAGAUGUCCGAGGUGAAACGGAUUAAGAUUUUAGUUUGAGAUAGUGCAUAAUGACGGUUGUAUGUGAUAACUAGGCCUGUGAAUCGGGUCGGGAUCGGGUACCCUACCCGAAAAAAUUAGGUACCCGAUCCCGAAUAAGACCAAAAUCCUAUACCCGAACCCGAACCCGAAAAAAAAUCGGGUACCCUAAUACCCGAGUCGGGUAUUCGGUACCCUAAAUUACCCGGUCAAAAUUGAAUCUUUCCAGUCAAACAGUGAAAAUCGGGUAUUUCGGGUACCCGAAUUACCCGAUUUGGCUUAAUCGGGUACCCUAAUACCCGAAAUACCCUAUUUUUUUAUAAAAAAAUAAAAAAUGUAGCCUUUAUUUUCAGUCUUUCCCUAUAUAAUUGCAUAUGUUUUUAAUUCCAUGUAUUAACAAAUAGGGUUAAUUGCCGUUAAAUUCAAAAGUUUUUUGAGAUUUCGCGAUAUUCUCACCAACUUCAAAAUCGACGUAUAAAUACACCAAUUGAGAAUUCGUUCUUAAUGUUCCCAAAAUUAAAAAAUUCCCCCAAUUUGAAAUUGACAUGGACUAUCGUAAUUACAGCGUGGCAUAGUCGGCGGCGUAAGGAAACGACGUCGUUUUGAUUUCCAUCAACAUUAAAAAAAAGAAAAAAAAAUUAGGCAGAAAUCUCUCUCUCUCGCACACCACCGCCGCCACCGAGUUCUGGACUUCCAGCCACCACCAUCGCCGAGCUCUGGACUUCCAGCCACCAGACCACCACCACCGCCCAUUUCCGCCUGUUCUCAACUGUCAACAACAACACACACUCACCUACAACCGCCGCCGGUCCAUCUCUCUCUCGCCUUUUCACCGCCGCUCCGCAAAUCGUGGCCUCCCUUCCUUCAAAUCGCCUCACCAAAUUGCGGCCUCUCUUCCUUCAAAUCUCUCUCUCUUGCAGACACCUUCUUCCUUUCUCUCUCCUCUUCUCUUCCUUUCUAUUCUCCCAAAUUGCGGUUUCCGAAAUCGCGCCACCACCUCUCCGCCCUCCUCCACCUCCAAGACCACCGCAAUUCCCUCCCACCACCCACCACCCACCACCUCCAAGCGCCACCUCACCCUCCCCAUCUCCUCCUCCUCCUGCCGCCACCACGCUCUUCCACAACACCCGCUAUGCCGCCCUCCUCCUCCGCCACCUCUCCCCCCAAACCCCAGACGAAGAAACCACACUCUCCGCACCCAUAACGCCCGCUCUGCCGCCCUCCUCCUCCGCCACCUCUUCCCCCAAACCCCAGACGAAGAAAUUCACGAGAUUUCGCCGCUGAGCAAGAUGACUCCUCAAUUUCCGGGAUCAAUCUACGAGAUUUCAAAAGGGGCAAAUUUGGGGCAAAUUCAAGGAAUUGCCUGAGCUUUCGCGCUAGCUGCGUUUGCCUGGCCAGACGAACGACGGCGGCGCGUGGUCGUUUGUCGCCUUGUUCCGGCAGAUCACGGGAAAGGGAUGAGAGAGGGGAGAUGGGGUAGGUGGUCGGGGGGUUUGGGAAGGGGGUAGGUUUGGGGGGUUGGGAUGGAGGUAAGUUUUUUUUUUUUAAUUAAUUUAUUAAUAAAUUAUUAGAUUUUAUUAAAAUGAGAUUAUUAAAAAAAAUGAAAAAUUGACAUGUAGUAAUACCUAAUUGCCAUGUAUUUGACACAUAAUCAGUGAUUGCCACCUCAUCUCGCCGAAAUUAAUAAUUUUGGGAACAUUAAGAACGAUUUCUCAAUUCAUGUAUUUAUACGCUGAUUUUGAAGUUGGUGAGAAUAUCGCGAAAUCUCAAAAAGCUUUUGAAUUUAGCGGCAAUUAACCCUAACAAAUAAUAUAUAACAUCAAAUCAAAAAUCAACAAGCACAAAUCUCAACUCCCAAGUCUAAAAUUUUAAAUUAAAAUUGAAUUUUAAUUCAAAAUUUUACAGAUUUUUAAAUUAAAUUUAAUUAAAUAAUUUAAAAUUUAUUAAUUAAAAAAUCGUGAAUUUCGGGUAUACCCGAUACCCGNNNNNNNNNNNNNNNNNNNNNNNNNNNNNNNNNNNNNNNNNNNNNNNNNNNNNNNNNNNNNNNNNNNNNNNNNNNNNNNNNNNNNNNNNNNNNNNNNNNNNNNNNNNNNNNNNNNNNNNNNNNNNNNNNNNNNNNNNNNNNNNNNNNNNNNNNNNNNNNNNNNNNNNNNNNNNNNNNNNNNNNNNNNNNNNNNNNNNNNNNNNNNNNNNNNNNNNNNNNNNNNNNNNNNNNNNNNNNNNNNNNNNNNNNNNNNNNNNNNNNNNNNNNNNNNNNNNNNNNNNNNNNNNNNNNNNNNNNNNNNNNNNNNNNNNNNNNNNNNNNNNNNNNNNNNNNNNNNNNNNNNNNNNNNNNNNNNNNNNNNNNNNNNNNNNNNNNNNNNNNNNNNNNNNNNNNNNNNNNNNNNNNNNNNNNNNNNNNNNNNNNNNNNNNNNNNNNNNNNNNNNNNNNNNNNNNNNNNNNNNNNNNNNNNNNNNNNNNNNNNNNNNNNNNNNNNNNNNNNNNNNNNNNNNNNNNNNNNNNNNNNNNNNNNNNNNNNNNNNNNNNNNNNNNNNNNNNNNNNNNNNNNNNNNNNNNNNNNNNNNNNNNNNNNNNNNNNNNNNNNNNNNNNNNNNNNNNNNNNNNNNNNNNNNNNNNNNNNNNNNNNNNNNNNNNNNNNNNNNNNNNNNNNNNNNNNNNNNNNNNNNNNNNNNNNNNNNNNNNNNNNNNNNNNNNNNNNNNNNNNNNNNNNNNNNNNNNNNNNNNNNNNNNNNNNNNNNNNNNNNNNNNNNNNNNNNNNNNNNNNNNNNNNNNNNNNNNNNNNNNNNNNNNNNNNNNNNNNNNNNNNNNNNNNNNNNNNNNNNNNNNNNNNNNNNNNNNNNNNNNNNNNNNNNNNNNNNNNNNNNNNNNNNNNNNNNNNNNNNNNNNNNNNNNNNNNNNNNNNNNNNNNNNNNNNNNNNNNNNNNNNNNNNNNNNNNNNNNNNNNNNNNNNNNNNNNNNNNNNNNNNNNNNNNNNNNNNNNNNNNNNNNNNNNNNNNNNNNNNNNNNNNNNNNNNNNNNNNNNNNNNNNNNNNNNNNNNNNNNNNNNNNNNNNNNNNNNNNNNNNNNNNNNNNNNNNNNNNNNNNNNNNNNNNNNNNNNNNNNNNNNNNNNNNNNNNNNNNNNNNNNNNNNNNNNNNNNNNNNNNNNNNNNNNNNNNNNNNNNNNNNNNNNNNNNNNNNNNNNNNNNNNNNNNNNNNNNNNNNNNNNNNNNNNNNNNNNNNNNNNNNNNNNNNNNNNNNNNNNNNNNNNNNNNNNNNNNNNNNNNNNNNNNNNNNNNNNNNNNNNNNNNNNNNNNNNNNNNNNNNNNNNNNNNNNNNNNNNNNNNNNNNNNNNNNNNNNNNNNNNNNNNNNNNNNNNNNNNNNNNNNNNNNNNNNNNNNNNNNNNNNNNNNNNNNNNNNNNNNNNNNNNNNNNNNNNNNNNNNNNNNNNNNNNNNNNNNNNNNNNNNNNNNNNNNNNNNNNNNNNNNNNNNNNNNNNNNNNNNNNNNNNNNNNNNNNNNNNNNNNNNNNNNNNNNNNNNNNNNNNNNNNNNNNNNNNNNNNNNNNNNNNNNNNNNNNNNNNNNNNNNNNNNNNNNNNNNNNNNNNNNNNNNNNNNNNNNNNNNNNNNNNNNNNNNNNNNNNNNNNNNNNNNNNNNNNNNNNNNNNNNNNNNNNNNNNNNNNNNNNNNNNNNNNNNNNNNNNNNNNNNNNNNNNNNNNNNNNNNNNNNNNNNNNNNNNNNNNNNNNNNNNNNNNNNNNNNNNNNNNNNNNNNNNNNNNNNNNNNNCAUCACAGUAGUAUUAGGGUAUGUUCCUUUUUGAUAUAUAAUACCCCCUCCUUUUUAUGAAGAGGUCCCCGCAUGAGGAGAAUUUCUAUAGAGAUAUGUAUAUAUGAGAUGAUGUUGAGAUGGUCUUCAGAUUUUCGAUAAGCUUUCAUUAUACGCUCAAUUAUGUGAUGUCUGGAUAUAGAUAGUGUUUAAUAUGGAUUAUGAUCACAGGAAUAUGAUCUUAACAGUGAGAAUAGGAUUUUGCGAACCAAUGGUGUAUGAGGAUUUAUUCUAUGUUAACUUGUGUGUCUAUCUAGUAUGCCACCGAGAAGAAGAAACCAAAAUCAAGAAGAUGAGGACAAAGAUCCUAGAAAUCCUACACCGCCACCACUUCCAUAAAAAAUUCAUAAAAAAUAAAUAAAGAUUAUUUUACUAAAUCAGACACAUACAUUAAAAGAAUAAAAAUUAAUUGUAAGCUAAUAAACUUACCACCUAGAUUUUGCAUACCGGACGAAAAAGUUAAUUUCCUCAUCAACAGUUAUACAAAAAUUAUAUUUAAUUGCAUGUCGAAGAACAAAUUACUAUCUAUACGACUCCUCCAAUAUUGAAUCAACAUUUCCGUCAAUAUAAUUGAUUUCUUUAAAAUUGUGUGGACAAAAUGUGCAUCUAAUUUUUUGUUUUUUUAAAAAAACAUUAAUGUAUAUUGUACCCAACUAAACGUCAUUAUUUUUUUUUGAAUAUGUAUGUCAAUUAAUGCAUCAGCUAGCAUCUAAAACUUGCAAAUACUCAAUUCACAUUAAUUUUUUCAAUAUUUGUAUUAAAAAUGGAUUAACAAACUCAAGUAUAUAUAUAUAUAUAUAUAUAUAUAUAUGUUACAUUUUAGGAAAUAAAAAAGAAGUAAUAUAUGGAACUAGCCUAUUUCUUAUUGUAAAUUUAAAAAAUAGCCUUUGAGAUAAAACUUUAAAAAUUAGUCAUUUUUUGUGUAAAAGUACAAAACUAGCCCUAACAUAAAAAAUUGGUCAUUCUACUUCUCUCCCUCCCCCCACACCAUCACCUAUUUCAUUCUCUCUCUCUCGGCGGCAAACGCUUUUCUGAUGAAUAUUGCUACAAGCUAUUCAUUCCAAUUGCAUAUUCUGGUCAAACUUUUUUUAUUAUCAAAACAAGUGUGUUAUUGCACGAUUCCACAUACAUAUUUUGGUCACACUUCUUUUUUUAUUAGCAAAAUAAAAAUGCUAUGUCUUAAAUGAAGCAUAGCUUUUAACUGUUAGAAAAUGUUUGGUACGAAUGACGGGCUUAAAGAAGAUCAAGAAGGAGGAGACGAGGAAGAUUCAAAAUCUAUUGAAUAUAGCAGAAAGGAAGAUUAAAAUUAGUUGUGAGUUUUCGAUCUAAUUCAGUAAAAUUGGGGAUUAUUUUAUUAUGGUUUUUUAAGGAUUAGAAGUUGAUUAUGGUUUAUACGAGAUCAUAUAAUCAAUUCAACGGAUUCAGAUAAUCCAACAAAUUCAAUUUAACAAGCCAAAAUAUAUUUCCCUAAGACAAUCUCAAUUCAAGUCUAAACACAUUAAUUACAUUAAUAUAUAUCUAAAUAUAGAUAUAUGUAUAUGUAAUUAAUUUUUUUAAAAAAAUUUAUAUUUAAAUUAAUUAACCAACUUAAUUUAGUGUCAAUUAAUAAAUUUUGAAUUUUAAUUACAAAAAUCUAUGUAGAUAUUCACAUAUUUUUUCAUUUAAAGGUAAUUAAUGUUGUCACACCCCAAUUCUUGAAAGAAUAAACUAUAAUCGAGGUGUGACUAAAAUCAUAGAAAUGAACAAGGGAAGAGCCUUGUGAAAUUCAAAUAAUAGGAUAAAAAGUCGGGGAACGCCCUUUGAGUGAAGAAAGACAAAAAUCAAGUGAUAUUAAUCAAUCAACAACAUUCUAAGCCUUAGGAUCACAAGUUCGGUUUCAUGCUUCCGAUAACCAACGUUAAUAACAUAGAGCUAGAAGUUGAGAGUUUAAGCUCGAUAAGANUAAAUGUUAGGUCCGGAGGGUCUCGAAUAGGUGUAUGGGGGAGGGGGGGAAAUACACCUAUAAGCAUUUUUGCUUCACAAGAGUCAAAACGAAACUUCAAACACAAACUCACACAACCUAUUUACUGAAAGAGUUUUGACCAAAACAGGGUUGACGACUGAUACUGAAUACUCUUCAGUAAGGAGUUAUCAGUUAAGUCAAAGACCUUAACUGAUACACGUAAGACUUCAGUCGAGUUUGAUAAAAAGAGAUGUUAUGAAUCUUACUGACUAUCAUAAGAUAGAUCAGUUAGACUGAUAACACAUGCAGCGGAAAACUUUUGUUUCGUAAUAGCCUGUGAGUUAAGCACGUUGUCAGCUCUGAGCUGAGUAAUGAUUUUGGCAGUGUUUCAGCUUAUGUUGUUGAAUCGGUGAAGAUUGAAGUGAUCCUCGAACGCUAUUUAUAGGAGAAGUCUUGAAUAGAUCCGUUGGCGGAGAAGGUCUUCCAGAUUUCUUCCGUUACAGAGUAAUUUGAACUUGGGCUGAGGCUUCAAUCUUCGAGGUUCCUUGUUUGGUAAGAACGGAUACUUUGAAGAGCAGGAGAUGCGACAUCUCUGAAAAGGUAAUCACUAAAAAGGAAUGGCCUCUGCAGAGAAAUGACGAUUCUGAGAUCUCUGCAUUUAAUACGACUGUACUCCUGGAGUGCGUGGCUUCCUUUGAACGUUGGAGGUUCAGUCUGAGGAAGAAUGUUUAACUGAUACUUGACUUUAGUUACAGUCCGCUGAUUCCACGUGGCUCGCAUUAAGUAAUCAGUCAAAACUGAUUCUUCGACUGAUGCUCCAGUCAGCAACUUCAGUCUUCAGUCUUCAGUUCUUCAGCCUUCAGUCUUCAGAACAGCAACUAAACUAGAAAAAGAACUCUAACACUUGAGUUCAAGCAGUUCUAGUCUAUUACAAAAGAAACCUAUUGAUUUUGGUAUCAUCAAAACAAUGGUUAGGAUAUUUCACUAAGUUCCCAACAAUUUUCCCCUUUUUGAUGAUGCCAAAACCACACAACAGUUCUAAGCAAGAAAAAGACUGAACUCAAAGCACAAGUUAUUAAACAGGGUGAAUAAUAUUCCUCCUUAACAAUAGAACCUAAAACUUGUACUUCAAAGAAAGAACGCAACAGUUCAACAAAACUGAACGAAGACAAAACUGAAAAAUAUUAAUCAGAGCCUGGACAAAAAGUCAUUGUCUUCAGGUUAAGAUCAAAGAGAAGUUCUUUUCAUUUAAAAAGCAAGACUGAUAAGGCAUCAUUUCUAAUUACAUGAAGAAGGAAGAAGCAAUCAAAGAGGAGCCAAAUCUAAAGAUUAUGGCUUCUGACCAUACAAGUUGAACACAACCUUCCUAAUUUUGUCAAAGUCAUCUGAAUUGGAGUUUGUAGGCACAUUCCAAAUUUUGCAGAUGGUCUUGACUUCUCUUUUGAUGGAUUCUCUGUUGACGCCGUUUCUGAUUCUCGGCGGGCAAACCGUCGUCUUCAGGGAAUUGGAGAUCGGAAUUCCAGCUUCUUUUUUAGCAGAUUACAUUCUCUCAACCAUUGCUCUUUCAGGCCAGUUCACAAGAAAGUAUUUCCAUGCUUCUCUUUGGAAAUCCCUAUUCCUGUUGAGAUUGGCGAAGACAACCCAUUUGGUGUAGCUUUCUUUCAGCUUUUCCCACCAUUCAUUCAUGUCAGUUGGUAUCAACUGAUCUUGUCGAUCAAAUCUAUCCAAGUAGGAUACCAAGAGUCCUUCACUAAUAUACUGCUUCAAUCUUUGUUCUUCUCGAAGCAUUUGUGGGAAGGGUUGUUGAGUAUCUUCACCCAUAUGGAGAACCUUCUUGGCCUUGGGCUCUGGGUCUCUAGAUGAUGAAACCCAAUGAUGAUCUAUGAUUGAUUUCGACUUAUGAUUUUGAUUUAUAUAAUACUUGAAGCAGAGUUAUUAUUUUAUUUCGCGUGAGAAACCGCGAUAAGGGUUAUUGAGCAGUCAAUAAUUUUUAUUACAAGUUUAUAACUGACUUAGCAAAGUCAUGUUAUUUAGUAGAAGUAUUAUUUAUAUUAUUAGUCAUUAUUAUUAUUUUACUUGAGUCGUGGAUUAUUCCGGCUUGUGAGGAAUAUUAAAUCUUCGGAUUUAAUUUAGAUAUUAGAUGAGCAAACGAAUUAAAUCUACGGAUUUAAUUUAGAAUUAUUUUAUAGUCUAUUGACAUUAGCAUAAUAGCAAGACAAGAAAUAGAAUAUCGAGACACGAGAUUUAUUAGAAUAUUCAUAUACACAGAUACGUGAUUAAAUAGCAAAAUCAAAGUUAGCAUUUUUGAUACAGAAUGACCAACGCUGAAAGAUUCUAUCGUGCACACCACAUCUUUUACAACCUAUCUAUUACAAUUAUCACACAAGUCCCUAACCCACAAUUCUAAAACACCAUCUGUCAACAAAGAAAUGGGAGAAGAAAUAAAAAAGGAUAGGAGGCGUGUAUGAGCUGAAACUGCUCUGCUACAGCCGCACCCCCUCUCCAAUCCCCUUCUCCCUACCUAUGUACGUAUUCCUUAGCAUGCUCAAGCUACAGCCGCAAUAUCCUCCAAUCCCCUUCACUCUACCCCUCUUACCUAUUCUCUAGCACACUCAAUGGCAAUCAACAUUCCUUCCUUUUAGCCUACAACUCCAGCCAAAACACGCCAUUCUCUUUCAUUCUUCACUAAGGAGUUCACUGAAGAGCAGGAAAGUCUCCAUUAAUUCCUUCUGCCAACUUCAAGGUAAACUUUGGCUUGAACUCAUUCCACCUCCUGCCAUAACCUCACCUGCAUUUGUUGAAGAAACAACAUGUGUUAAAUUAUUUCAGCCAUUCCAGUGGAGUUAAGUAACCAAGAUUGAAGGAGUAAGAAACUUCAUUCAUUCAUUCUCUUGCCAAAAGUUUCAAGAGGUAAACCUUGGCUUUAAUUCCUUAACUUUAAUUCUUAUUCACCUACAUUAUAAGGCAAUAACACCUUCGUUCUAUUUCAGUUCCCAGUCAUCAAUAUCACAACAGCCAACCAACACGUUCUAAAGGUAUUUAUGCGACCUCUGUUAUUCAAUCCAGUUUGCAUUUAUACCAUCAUACAUGAUCAGAUUCAAAUGAUAGAAGAUCUAUAUAGCGUAAUGGACUUAGCAGCGAAGUACACUUUGUAAUGUAGAGCACCAAUUACUUUUCUUUUGUGCAAGUGUUAGUAUGUAUAAGAACUCGACCGAGCAUAGUAUGAUUCUUAAGAAAAGCAAGGAUGAGACUGCAUCUUCUUUAUAUUUAGGUUAGGAAUCGAUAGAUGAAGUAGAGUAAGAUUUGGCUUAACUUUAGAGGGCUAGGGCCACUGCCUUGCUGCCCCAUCGAACUCCGAGAACAGCAGUGUCGACGGCGUCGAUCGGUGAAGGGCAGACGACUCCCGACCCCAGCGAUGGCUCCUCGUCAAUUCUGGAGUAGCAGCAACGGCUUGGUGCGCGGUAGGGGUAGAGUUUUAGGGGGAGACGGCCGAAUUGAAUCGGCAUGAGAAGAGUUAGGGCUUUCUUUACUCCAUUCGCCGGAUUUUGAAAGUGGUGGUGGCGGAUUCAGGCGAGAAGCUCGCCUUGAUGCUCUGUGAUUUGUUAAAUCGAGAGAGCAGAGCAGAGAGCGAGAGAGCAGAGCAUAGAGUAUAGCAUAGUAGAGCAGAGAGCGAGAGAGCAGAGCAGAGAGCAAGAGAGCAGAGCAGAGAGCGAGAGCGCAGAGCAGAGAGCAAGAGAGCAGAGCAGAUAGCGAGAGAGCAGAGAGCGAGAGAGAGCAGCGCAGAGAGCAGAGAGCGAGAGAGCUGAGCAGAGAGAACAGAGCAGAGAGCAGAGAAGAGAGCGAGAGAGCAGAAAGAGAGGACCGGGGGACGAGUUUGAGGGAGAGGGUCUUGGGCCUUCCCCUUUAUUUUCUACUUUGUAAUUGGGCCUUUGGGCCAAAUUCAUUUUAAUUAUAUGAGUUGCCCUUAAUUGGUUCAUUAUGGAUUAAUUAUUAUGGGAUUAUUGCUCGAGUAAUCGGAUUCAGCUAUUCCCCUUUUCCGAUUAAAUAGGGCGAGAUCUAUUAGAUUCUCAUGUGAGUGAAAACACCCUAAGACGAAGGGGUUAGUCAUAGUUAUUUACCCGAUCGUGCGAAACGAGUUUCAGUUAGUUUAUUUUGCUUAUUUAAUCCGAGAGUUAGGACUAAUAGUAUAAUUUCCCGAACUAUUAAGUCGGAAUAAUGAAUCAUGCAUAAGAGAGUCAUGCAUCAUUAAUUUCACAUUCUCAUUAAUCGAGGAUUCUCUUCGAACACAUAUCUUAUAUUAUAUUCUCGCAAUUAAGGUCAAGCGCGAGAGUAAUUACUAGACAAGAGCUACUGCACCACAACAAGAAUUGCCAACAGGUGGGCAUUAUUUUCAUAUAUAUCAAAUGAGUUUAAAUGUUACGUUCAAGCAAGUUAUUUCAUGACAAAAUCUUUGAGUUGAAGUUAGUUCAAGUAUUGUCUUGCCAUAAAAUGUUUCAAUUUCAGUAUGAUAUCUAUCUGAUGUGGCUUUGCCAGUUAUCAUGUAAUCGAAUUCGGGUCUUGAGCAGUUGAUAGCUAUCCUGCCUUGACAAGUGUACACCAGUGACCGUGAGUCAUCUAGCGGGUUGGCCGGUCAAGUGACAGUGAGACGUGGCCACCUCUCCGGCACGCAGCUUCAGAUAUGAUAGAUUAUGAGAACUUAGACUGCCGUCGAACUUUAAGAAUCACAAAUAAAUUUAGUAAGCUUGGGCUUUUUAGCGAAAACUUCCUUGUUGUACUGUUUAUGAUGGCAUGACGAUUUGCAAUUUAUUUAACAUGUAAUUUAUACUUAGGCAUACGUGCCCACUGAGUACUUUUGUACUCAACCCUGCGUAUAUUUCUAAAUGUGCAAGUUGAGCAGCUGUCGGUGGUGACGAAGUGACGAGCGGAACCCUUUUGUCUCAUCCUUAUGUAUUAAUGAACUCUAGGGAUACAUGUCUUCAUACAUGUAAUCAGAACCUUAUUCCGCUGCGUACUCAGAAGUUUUAUGUUAUUUUGGCUAAGUCGGAGUUAUCCGAACUACUAGUUUAUUUCAGUCUAUAUGACUAAACCUCCGUUAUAUUAUAAAUAUUCCUUUGGUUAACAAUGAUAGAAUACGAUCCACCCUGUUUGAUUAUCCCUCUUUCUACGCCGCUUCUAAUCUUCCUCCCUUAGUCACGGUUUUUCCGGCUUAAUUAUCCUUAAUUAGGCACGGUCGUGACAUAUUUAUGAGGUAAAUAUUCUGGAAGUUGGUGCGUUUAUGGAUUUGUUUAAUGCUUUGUAGGAGCUUUUGAUAAAACAGGAGGAAGAAUGCUAAGUUGGAGUUUUUGGAUCAGAUUUGCUAUUUUUGGCUCAAAGUGGUGCUCAGAGCUGACGGCGCAUACUCUGCUGCCUCGCCAGAGCUGACUGAGCCGAAGUCCAUUUGUUAGAGUGGAUUUCCCGUGUCAGAGCCAGAGCUAAAAAGAGCCCUUCAAGUCGGCUGUGCUGAAAGCAAACACAUCCGCAUUCCUCUGAAGACAGUUGAUUAGCUCUGCUCUAGUUUGUUCAUUCAUGGAUGACCCGAUUUUUGUCUGAAAGCCCUCUUUUCCCAGAAAUAGCUCAAUCAUUUUACACACGUCGUUGGUAGAUAUCAAGGCAGAUUUCUCAGAGUUUUCCCGAGUAUUUAACAGCUCUGAUAAUUCCCGCCGUUCCUCUGCCGGGCCAGCGACAUCACCCAUCUUCCCCUUCUUUCUAGUGUCUGAUCCCUCUGUUGCCCUUUCUCUUUUUUAACCUGAAGAUUGCGUGAGCAUUCGCACAUGGCAUUCUUUUGAAAACUUUUGAUCACCCUAGACUUCCCCCACUCUUCUGCCUCUGAUUGGGAAUUUCAUUUUUAGGUGGAACAUUGAAAUGAUUGCUCUUAACGCCGUCAGAGCAGGGCGUCAGAGUAUCACAUUGUAAGAUGGUUUGGGCAUGUCUACCAUCAAAAAUCGUAUCAUCCUGUUUUUGCAGGCAUCUGCCCUGCCGAGAGUAACUGGUAACUCCACAAACCCCAGUGGCAUGACGAUUUCUCCGCCGAAUCCGAAUAGAGGGGCAUUUGUGGGUUCAAUAUUAGCCUCGAUCCCCAUACUUUGGAGAUAUUCUAAGUAUAAAAUAUUCACCGCACUCCCAGAGUACACGAAGAUGCGAUGUACAAUACAAGUUGCUAUGUCGGCCGUGAAAACCAGCGCGUCGUCAUGGGGGUACAUGAGUGUCUUCAGGUCCUCUGACCCGAAGGUUAUGGCUGGUUCCUCUGCUGCACCCGUGAUUUCCAUUACUUGUUUAGGGUAAUAUCCUGACCUCACUGCCCGCACAACCUGUUUCUUGGCUCGGUUGGAGGUUGAUAGCCCAUUUUCCCCAAAGAUCAUGUGCACCUUCCUUCUAGCUGGGUGGGAAGAUACCCGACCCUGUACGACUCCUCUAUGUUGAUAGCGGUUUUCCUCCGGACGUCGGUCUCGGUCAUUUCCUUGAACUUGCCUCUGAUCAUUUCCUUGGGCCUGCUGACCCUGAAUCUCAUUCCCUCUGGCUAUGAAUUGAUCCAGGUUGCCCUGGCGUACCAAGAGUUUCAAUUGAUGCUUGAGAUGUGACUCAACUAGAAACACCUCUAAGUUGACUUGCAAUAGAACAAGGACAUCCUAGUGAUGGUAAGUUGACCCAGUGUUAUCUCUCAAGGAAAGUCUUUAAGGGCUUCUAGUAGUAUCGUAGGAAAAAGCAAUAAAAGAAAGCAGUAAAGAUUUUGAUUUAAAAACUGAAACUUAAACUUAAACUUAAACUUGACUUGAAUUUAAACUUAACCUAGGCAAGAAUUUAAACAACUCAAAUUAAACCUAACUUAAGGAAUUAAAUACUUGUAAAUUUGAAGACUUCUAAUCUAGGCGUGAAACUAAAAUGCAUAAUUUAAAUUGCAUAAUUAAAAAGAAAGCGUAAACAUGAACGAAAAACGUAAACAUGAUUAAACAGAAAUAAAUUGAAUUUAAAUACGAAAUACCGUAAACGUCUUGAACAUGUAAUUGUGUCACUCAAUCACAAUCCAAGAAUAAAAACUAAAUAAAAUGAAAUUGAAAUCUAACUUAAAACAAUGAAUUCGAAAACUAUGAAGAACUAUGAAAGCAAGUAAAUCCUAAGCUUCGGCUGCCAAAGGAAGAUCUCAAAGGCGUCCAAAAAUUAGGGCAAAAGUAUCUUUUACAAUGAAAAGCAUGGCCCUAUUUAUAGACUUCAAAUCCCUCUGGAUCACAAUGAAAGUUGCCAUGCAAAGUAGAACUCUAAAAGGAAUAGAAUCGUGCAAAGGAAGGUAAGUCCAGCUGUGACGCGCGCUACAAGUCAUCUCCAUUCUGGCCGAAUUCGGGGCUCUCGCCAGCGGAAUGGCUUCCGCUCUGGCACUCACCAGUGGAAUGGCUUCCGCUCUGGCUCUCGGUUUCUCUGACUGGCGUGUGAUUUCAGCAGCGAAGUGAUUCCUCUGGCGUUUUCAAUUCCUCUGGCGCUUCCAGCAGCGAAGUGAUUUCUCUGGCGAGACUUCGCUGCUCUGAUUUUCUCUCCUCUGCUCUGACUUUUGACUUCGCUGCUCUGGGUUGGUUUCGCUGCUCUGGCUCUGGAGCAUUUCUCUAGCUUCCUAUUUCGCUGCUCUGGCAUGCGGGGCUUUGCUUCUCUUACAUGCCAGAGUAUGCACAAAAACACGAUUCUUAGCCCAAACUCUCCAAAAUUUGCACUCUUCAUCUCGAAAACCUAAAUCUCCUGCAAAGCAUAAAAUACACCAUAAAACGCACCAAUUUCCAGAAGAUUUAACUUAAAAUAUGCACAUGCAAACCCCAAAAUUUAGAACAAUUAAGCAUAAAUCAAGAUGCCCACAGUACCUAGUAUAGUGCCCAUAAGAGUUGUGGUAUUCACAUAAUUUAUUAUUAGGCCCCGGCUGUGGCUGCCCAUCCCUGUAAUUCCAAUCCAACUCUCAAAGUCAAUUCAGAAUUUUACAAUCAAUGGCUGGUUCUUAAUCAGGUGAAAGAUUUCUUCUUGUGGCUUGUUUAGGGGAGUGUAUUCAUCAAAGCGGUUGACUUCGUUCACAGUGCGCUGUUGGCGGGGUGGUACCUCUGUUUGAGGAGGAAGUACCCUAGGGGGCAACCCUCUGAAGGGUGCCGGAUUCCGAUUCCUGUUGUUCUGCUCUGGCACGGCCUCGGCCCUUUUGGCCUUGUGCUUAUCAUUUUCUACCUUUCGUGCCGUUCGGGCAUCCUCUAAUUGCAAAUACCCUAGUAGUCUUGACAUGAUGUCAUCAAAAUCUCGGGCUGGCCUGAUCUGUAACUCGUCAAAGAAAAGCCCAGGCUUCAACCCUCUGACGUAUGCGCAUUUUUUUAUUUGUGACUCUGUCUCUAGAACCUCCAGAGCAGCGAGAUUAAACCGGGCCGUGUACUCCCGUAGCAUUUCAUGUUGAUCCUGCUUUAUAUCCAUCAAGGAAAGGGCUGACUUUCCCACCCUUCACGAGCUCGCGAACUGUCUAAGAAAAUGUGUUUGCAGGUCCUCAAAAGAGUGGAUGAAGUUCGGGGCCAACGUCCCGAACCAUAGCUAGGCGGGUCCAGACAAAGUUGUAGAAAAUAUACGGCACUUGAUGCCCUCUGAAUACAUGUGUAGCGUGACUAGCCCUUCGAACUGGUUGAGGUGCACCUCCAGGUCAGUGGUACCAUUGUAGUCAAGUGAAAUAGGUUUGUACUAGAAAAACGCUCAUAGAUAACGGAUUUUUUCCGUUAUCUAUGAUACGUAUUAUAGACAACGGUUCAAAACCGUUAUGUAUAUUAGCAUAGAUAACGGUACGAUGCGUCAUACAUAACAGUACGCAUCCGUUAUCUAUAAAGGUUAUACAUAACAGUUUUUCACCGUUAUGUAUUAAGAUUUUUCCGUUAUGUAUUAGAAUUUUUUUUAUUUUUUUAAUCAUAGUUAACCGUUUUUUGCACUUUUUAUAACGGUUUUAACCGUUAUCUUUGAUAGAAAUACAUAACGAUUUUUUGCACUUUUUAUAACGAUUUUAACCGUUAUCUUUGAUAGAAAUACAUAACGGUUUUUUGCACUUUUUAUAACUGUAAUAUAUUUUUUAAAAUUUUCCUGUUAUUUAUCUCAAAAAUUAAAUUAAUAAUUCUAAAACAAAAUGACAUUGCCAUCGAUAACAUAUAUUAUAUAACAUCCAAAAUAUUCAUACAUUAUCAUCCAAAUAUAAUAAAUAUCACAUAAAUUUCUGUCUAACAAUUCUCCCACCAUAUAAGCACCAGAUUCUUAUAAGCAAUUUCUGUCUAACAAUUUCUGUGGCUAGCCCUUGGUGCACAGAUGACUUAUAAGCAUUGUCUAGAGACUUGUUGUACUCACUCACAGCCCUCUUCUUCCCUGUAUACGAGGCAACCUGCACAAAUAUAUAUAUUUAUUUUUAAGCACCAACACUACAGUCACAAAAUAGAAAUGGGCUAAACAAACUAACUCAUCAACAGUAUGACACGAGAAAUUAACUUGUGUCUCGAUGAUCACCUUGCUAAGAGCAUUAGGAUUUUGAGGCUUCGCAUUUAAGAAGGCCACCUCAACCUGCAAAAGCAUAAAAUUGCAAUAGUCAAGAUCCAGAAAAGGUAGAUACCCUAGCCUUCUCCACACAGUCUCGUACAAAACCCAACUGCAACUUAAAGAAUAAAAAUACUCAUGCCAAUUUUAACCAAAGGAGAGUCGGCAGUGAAAAGCGAUAAUCGUAUUGUCUCUCAGGGGGUACAUCUUCCAUCCUUAUUAACAACCCAAUUGCCUAAGAGAACAAAAAGAUAGCAUCAAAUAACAACAUCAACUACCUUAAUUAUUGACCUCAAAAAUGUGACUUCCAUACUUGUAAAGCACAAAGACAUCAUCACACACCUACAUUCAUGACUUUUGAUGCAAAGUAAAACAAAGGAAAACACUAAAACAGUAUAGACACUAACUUUCAAACACAAACAUGAGAACACCGUAGUCACUAACUCCUUUCUUCCUUUGAGAUUUUCAUUUGUGAAUUUCUAAUUUUCCUAUAAAAUUUCAGUUGAUAACUACAGAUACUUCCAUCUCAUGUUGAUAGAGUAUGAAAAUCGAUAUUCUGAUCGAUACACGUAAAAACAAAUCUCACUGCCAAGAAAAAGAAUCAUGUAUGAAUGGCUGCGGCGAAGUGCUGAAGAAGCAUAACAGAUUCCAAUAAAUAUUCAAUCAUCUCCAACACGUUAAUUUUCUUAAAAAAAAAUAGACGACAAACGAGAAGAACAACUAUAUUUUUGAAAAUUAAAAAAAGAAAUGAAAAAAAAGAACAGCAACAACAGAAAAAUGAAAUUUUACCUGAUAAGAGCGGCAACAAGGAGGAAAAUACGGCGGAGCAGUUUCUUGACCGAAUCUCUGCUUAGGUCUGUGACACAACACUACAAUCACAACACUACAGACCAACGUUAUGGGUCUGGGUGCAGCCAAAGGCAUCGGACAAUUGUCAAAUAAAACGAAGAUACUAGUUAAUAUGAAUGAAGAUCGGAGAGCCAAAGACUAGACAGACUGGUUGAAGAGAAAACAAAUCCCCCCAGGUUGGAGCAGCCUUCCAUCUUGAGACUGGUUAGACACUUCUUGUCUGAUAUAAAACGAGUCAAAUCAUCCCCGGAUGAGGACAUGGAAUAGAAUAAAUCAUAAUUAGUCCGAGACAAGAACAUAAUAAGAUAUUAAGAUUAUCUUGAGAAAGUUAGGACAUAUGUAUCAAGAACAAAAUGCUUUCCUGUAUAAUUUAAUUUUUCCAUUAUGAUGGAACAAUUUAUGCUUUAGGAUAUGGAAUUAGGUAAAGAGCUUCAAAACAAUCUAUAUAAGAUGGAAAUUACAUCUAUUAAUAUUACUCAAAAUAUGACUUCAAAUGAAAAUCAAUAGUUCUAACCCAAGUACCCAAAAAAUUGGUUCAACAGAUUCAUAAUUAUGGACAUAAAAAAACUCAACUCAUUCUUGAACCGUGUAGAGGAUAGAUCAUAUUCACUUCCAAAUGAUGCAAAACUUACAACCUAGUAUAAACUAUCUUGAUAUCUUUAGAAUAUUUAUGUGGUAAUUUAACAGUCUAAAGUCUACAAGAAACCACAAACAUAUGCUUCUUACUUUCAAAGCAUAGAAAAUUAUAGAGAAAUGAACAAGCAGCUGUCUUCAAUUCUAUUUCAUAUAUGUAGAGAAUAGACCGGCCAAUUACUGCUUAAGAUUUGCUAUGCCUGUACAAAUAUUGAAACAAUGGCAGAUCCCAUAAUUUCAUGAGUAGAGAGCAACCUAUACACACACAAUCACUCAUUCUACAUGUACUAGUAAUUUACAAAAACAAUAAGUAGACCCGCAUCAAAGACUUAGAAUCAAUACCCAGAGAUCCGGUUGAUGCAGGAAUCAGAUGUCAAGAUCUCCAAAGACUGCAAAUUAGGGCACGAAAACGCAAUGCAGGCCAGCAUCGUUGCAUCAACAUCACUGCAAAACCAAAAACAGAAACACAUAAUCAGAUCGAAGCAAAGCUUAUUGCCAAUCAGUGAUCACAUCAAUCAUCAACAACAGUUUUAAGUCUUCUCCCUAAGUUUCAACAAAUUGUACCUGCAAAACCCUAACCUUAAGAUCCAGUAAUCUUUUACUUUAAGCAUCCCAAGCCUUCUCCACCGCGGCUCACGUCGAGUUCCAGAGGCACGACUCAAUCUCGAGCUCGUCCGUAUACAGGGUCGUUCGCCAGACGGUGUCGCUGCCGAAAAUUGAAGCUAGGGCACGGCGGCGGCAGGGAGCCGCUGUUGUCGCCGGAGUAUGGAGAGAAGAGGGGGCUUUGGGCUGCGCUCGGAGGCGGCGGCCUUCCCGCCGUGCGGUCGACAGGAAUCGACAUGAAGGUAGCUGUAGAUUAUAGAUCUAGGAUUUCAGGCGCGGUGUGGUGUGCGUGCAUUUGAGUCAGAGAGAGAGGAGAUUAAGAGGGAGACGAGGGAAGUGCGACGAGCUUGGUGGCUGACGUUGCUGCGGCCGUGGAGGACAGAGGGGGGCGCACUUCUAUGGCCAGAACUUGCCUCUGCAGCGGCGGCGACUAUCUCUCAAAGAGGGAGAGAUCGCGAAGAGAGAGAGAGAUUUGGGGAGGAGAUGAGAUAAUUUUUCAAAGUCUAUAUUUAGGAAUAAAUUCAGAUUUUAGGAUAAAUAAUUUAUUUGUUAUUUUUAAUAUAAUAUAAUAUAAUAUAAUAUUAUUUUUAAAAAUUAAUAAAAAAAUUAUAACAUAACAGUUUUUAUAGACGCUCAUACAUAACGGUUCAAAAACCGUUGUAAAUGACUCUUAUACAUAACGGUUCUUUAACGUUAUGAAUAAUCGUUAUAAAAGAUGGUCAUAGAUAACGGUGGCUUAACGGUUUUUUAAUACCGUUAUGUAUGCAACUAAUAGAUAACGCAAAAAAUAUAUCGGUUUUUGAAAAACCGUUAUCUAUGCAUAUAGACAACACUACAUAGAUAACGAAUUUUUCCAAAACCGUUAUCUAUUCCUAAAAGUGUGCUCAUACAUAACAGUUUUUGAAAAAAACUGUUAUCUAUGCACUGUUAUGUAUGUAAACUUUUGUAGUAGUGGUAGCUCCUUGGCAAGGUAUCUGCCAGGAUAUCAGCGGAAAACGGGCGGCUAGUGGUGGUUUGGAUCCUUGAUGUUUUAGCACGCCCUUCAUCCCUGUGUCUCUUAUGUUCCCUCCUGUCUCUUGGUGAAUCAUGAGCGUGGUGGCGUUUGUGGCCCCUGUGUCCCUGCUUGCCAGAGGUGUGCUCCUGUUCCCGUCCCUCUGACCUCUCAGUCCGGCGGGACUUCUCUGAUCGGUAUGACUUCUCUGCUCUGUGGGAUCUCUCUGUACUUUGUGAUUUUUCAACCCUCUGAGAUUUCUCCCUCAGAGUAUCCUCCAGAUCUUUGAGUUGGUUUUUCAGUUGUGACACUUGAUUUUUCAACUUCGCAGUUUCCCUUGGCCUCUCUUAUUCGAAGAUAGGAGUAAUGGAAUGACUAUCAAACUCGUCCACCCCCUCCCUUCUGACAAUGCUAUGCAACACAAUGCGGCUCUCCUCUGGCCUCCUUUUCGGUUUCCUCUCAGCGGGAAUUUCUGUGUUUCUUUCGGCAGUGCAGGUUGUUUGUUGGCAAGUUGUUCGUUCACCUCCAGAGCGGCGUGAGGUGGGAGUUCAGUGCCCUGCUGGUUGAGCACUCCCAGCAGAGGAGCCGUAGUGGGGACAGUUGAUAAAAGUGGAGUUCCCAGUGCCUUUCGCACAACAGCGUAAUUCAACAGAGCCAUCAUCUGCUCUGCCAAAGCGAAAUUCAGUGGCCCACCACCAGACGUGGGGACCAAGCCUUGUAACUCAGACCCAGCAGCAACCAGAGCAGAUCUCUGGGGGAUGACAUUCUGGCCGAAGCGGGGUAGCAGAGAUGUUGAGGAACCGGCGGUUGGAGAAAAUAGUGCUGACUGGCAGACUGCUUAGCAGAGAAAGGGCACUUAGUACGGGCGACAGAGUUGAGCCCGGUGUUGUCAAGGUCCUUCUCAAGGGUGCGGCGAACGUCAGAAGAGUCCAUGGUACCUACACUAAAAAUGUGAGAAAAACCCAAUAAAAGACAGAUCGAUCCACCCCUGUAGAGGAAUCCCGACAUAAGAAAUCCCAAUAUGGCGCGAAGGCCAUUAUGAAUUCCCGAUCAAAAUACUUCCUGCCGGAAAUAAACCAGGGCACAGAUUCAACAGGAAAGAACAACGAGAUUUCUCCGGAUUCAGAUUCGAAUUCAGCAGAAAAGACAGAUUGCCAGAGAAACCACCUGGAAAACCCAAAAGCAAAUAAAAACAGAACAUCAACUGAGAUAUCGUUAGUAAACAGUUAAAUACGGCAAAAACGAGAUUAUACAGGAAAACAUGAGAAUCGCAAACAAUUAACAGCAUAGCAUAUAAAAUAGACAGAUACCAGAACCUGAUUCUCAAUUUUACCCAUCCUCCAAACGUGCACAUACGAGAAAGCAACGAAACCCACGAAUAUAUGAGUUUUCGGAUGGAUCGGAGCGAAAAAAGUAGAUCUACCGCCCCAAAUCCACUAGGGUACUCGAAUCAUUGAACUAAUCGGGACCUGCGCACGUAAAUCCGCCCGCGAUUGCAGAUCUGCAUGCGCAAGCUGAAACUCACGCCUUAAACUCAUAGCUUUCCCACAGACGGCGCUAGCUGAUGAAUCGCAAUUGUGUGGGUGGUAUUUUAAUCGUGCAUUGUGAUUAGAUUGUGAAUUUUACCUAGUGUUGCUUGUGGAAAUUGGAAGAAGAGAGUCGGAUUGCUGAGAGAAAGCGAGCUUGCGGUUGUAUUGAUAGAAAGCACGUGAAAAAUACAUAACAUGGGUGCAUGGGUAUUAUAGUAUACAUGCUAGGGGUAAAAUAGUAAAUUCAUUCUCGGGAUCACGUUCCCCGAGUGGUCGGGGGUAUUGUGGUAAUUUCGCCUGCCUUCGCUCAUUCCUCUGCUCUGGCGCUUCCCAGGUGAAGUGGUCAUUCCUACCGUUGACUGUCUCGUGAGUAGAUCAUCCCUCUGAUUUCUGCGAUUUCACUAGUUUCUGCGAUUCCUCUGACCGAACCCAUUCCUCUGGCCCAAAUGGUUCCUCUGGCCCGAACGAUUCCUCUAUCCAAAUCCAUUCCUCUGCUCUGCAUAUAUUACUCAUCAUCAAAAAGCGAGGACUCCUCAUGCGCACAUCGUUCUGUUUAUAAAAGUGAAGCUCAGCAUCGCCUUAUAGAGAACAUUGAUGAUUUUAUAUGUGCUGAACUUCCAAAUAAGGAAGUCAAUCCUGAGCUAUACUAGGCCAUAGCAGAAUGUAUGAUCCAUGGUCCUUGUGGACCAGAAAUAAUGAACUCACCUUGCAUGGUGAAUUCAAAGUGCUCAAAAAAAAUUCCCAAAGGAUUAUGUUGAUCGUACAAAACUUGAUGAUAAUGCAUUUCCAGUCUAUAGAAGGAGAGAUACAGGUGUCACCGUGGAAAAAAAUGGAGUUCUUCUGAUAACAGAUAUGUAGUUCCAUACAAUCCGUUUCUAAUUAUGAAGUAUCGUGCCCACAUCAAUGUUGAGUUUUGCAAUCAAGGGCAAUCUGUCAAGUAUCUCUUCAAAUUCAUCAAUAAAGCCAGCGAUAGGAUGGGGUGCAAGAAUAACUACAAAGCUAAUGGUGAAUGGCUACAUGAAAGACACUUAGGACAAAGCGGGACAAAGGUUUUGGCAUAGGACGCAUUUUCAUGUUCCUCCCUCAAAUAGGAAAAUGUAUCAUCUUAGGAUGUUAUUGAAUCAUGUCAGAGGUGCAACGUGUUACAAUGAUUUUAAAAUGGUGAAUGGCGACAUGAAAGACACUUACAAGGAAGCAUGCUACGCAAUGGGAUUGCUAGACGAUGACAAAGACUAUAUUGAAGGAAUUAUUGAAGCCAGUUCUUGGGGAACAGUAUGUCAAGGCCUGAAGAAGUCCGGAAUCAAACUUGGCAAAACCUAUAAGAUGACAUCUUGCACACAAAGCGAAAGACUCUUCAAAAGCUAGGUAUUUUAAAUUAUAAAAUAUAUGAAUAAUAUUAUGCAUUAAUUCGAUGGGGCUCUCGGCAGAGCUGUCUCUGGUUGAACUCUGUCUCUGGCAUGUUGUCUCUAGUAGAUCUGCUCUAGCAAGGCGGGUUGAUCUCUGGCUCUGGCAAGGCGGGGGUUAAGGUCUGCUCUGGCAGAGCGGGCAGCUCUGCUCUGGCAAGGCGGUUGAGCUCUGCUCUGGCAGAGGCGGGAGCUCUGCUCUGGCAAGGCGGGUUGAGCUCUGCUCUGGCAGGGCGGGCAGCUCUGCUCUGGCAAGGCGGGUUGAGCUCUGCUCUGGCAGGGCUGUCUCUGGUGAAGCGGGCUCUUCAGGCAUCUUCAUAUUCAUUUAUUAUCCCGAGUCUUUAGUUAAACCUGCGAUGGUUAGUUUAUAUAAUAAUAAUAACAAUAAUUAGGUAAAAUGUCCCUGUAUUAUUGCUAAGCACAACGCUGAUGGGUAUUACUGUCCUCAUCAAGGCCUAUUUGAAAUAAAUAUUACAUCCUUUUACUUUAACACAAUUUUAUUAGAUGUUCUCUUUAGUGAAAAGAAAUUUAUGAAAUAAAAAAUAAAUUGAAUAAUCACAAAAAUUUAUUUUUUAAUAGAGAAAAAUAUUAAUAUUUCGCAGUAAACAUAAUAUGAUCUUAUUAAUAUUUGGUUGUAUAUCAUUAAAUAAUAACUAUUGGACCCAUAUAUUUACUUGACAUGAAAGUGGCGCCAAUGUAUCUAUGAUCUAUGGUUAUAGUUUUAUUUAUAUAUUAUAUUGUUCUAAUGACUUUUAUUAAAUAGAUUUGCAGUUGACAGAUGACCAAUUAAAAAAUCUAGCAUUGGUUGAAAUUGAGAAGUUGCUUAUAGCUAAUUCCACCAGUUUAGUCAAUUUUCCUGGCAUGCCGUUACCAAACGAAACUGUCAUAUCUAAUUCAGAAAAUCUACUGAUAUUGGAAGAGAUGUCUUACAACAUAGAAGAAAUGAAAGAAGACACGCUAAGCUAUAUCCUCUUUAAGAUGAGCAAAGAAUGGUUUAUGAAACAAUAAUGACGCGGUUGAUAAAGGCGAAUGAGGAUUUUUCUUUCUAUAUGGAUAUGGUGGUACAGAAAGACAUAUAUUUGGAACACCUUAUGCUCGGCCAUACGUGGGAGGGGCAUAUAGUACUCCAGUAGCUUCGAGUGGUAUAGCAUCUUACUUUGCCUAGGGGCAGACUGCACACUCAGAUUCGUAUACCAUUGGACUGCCACGAAAACUCCACAUGCAACAAGAUAAACCCAGAUAACGAUUUACUGGACUACUUGAGAAAAAAAGCUUAUUAUUUGGGAUGAGGCACCAAUGACACAUAGAUACUGUUUUGAAGCGCUUGAUAGAAGCUUAAGGGAUAUUAUGAGAUCUUCCGAUAGGUCUGGAAAACCUUUUGGAGGUUUGGUGGUGUUUUAGGAGGCGACUUUCGACAGAUACUUCCAGUGAUCCCUAAGGGAAGUCGGCAUGACAUCGUGCAUGCCUCUAUAAGUUCAUCUCAACUUUGGAAUUCGUGUCAAGUUCUCAAGUUAACUAAGAACAUGAGAUUACAGGUAUUUUAAUCUUAAUCUAAAUAUAUAUUUUUAAAAAAUUAUAUUACCAUGAUAAAUUUAUUAAUAUUAUUUUAAUUCAAAUAAAAAAUAUUAAAUAUAAAAUUACUAUUGUUUGUAUAUAUGUAUUUAUCUUAAUAAUUUUAUCUUACAUUGUUCGAAUUAGUCCUCAUUCCUUAGUAGAUGUUAUAUAAAGGCGACUAUAGUAAAUUAAGUUCAGCCAUAAUAACAAAAACUUAUAAUUUAUUCUAAAUCCAAAUACCUUGAUAGAACACGACGACAUUUGUCAAUUAUAUUAGGCUAAUUAAAACUAAUGUAGUAAUAGAUCCUUUUUCUAUGGAUUACAUACUUUACAAAACGACACAGUAAGGUUAAAUGGCUUAUCUUGAUUGAUUUUGUGAACAUUUAAAUGUAAUUAUGUAUAGUUAGGAUAUUUUCAUGAAAAGACUAUAAUACAACGUAUAGGGAAGGCAAUAAGGCCGAUAAAAACAAUAGAUAUAUUUUUUUUUAUUUAGUGAUAAUUCGAAUAAGAUGUAUUGGUACACAUUUUGGUUUCAGGCAAAUGCUUCUGGUUCGGAUGCAGAAGAAACCAAAGAAUUUGCAGAGUGGAUACUUAAAAUAGGUGAUGGUACACCCGGACAUAGUCUUAGUGAUGGAGAAUCUGUUGUGGCAUUAUCAGAAGAUAUCCUUAUACGCGAUGCAACAAAUCCUAUUGCAGCUAUAGUGGAAACACAUAUAAUGACGUCAUGAAUAAUGCAUUUGAUCCAGAAAUAUUUAAGAAUAGAGCUAUCUUGGCGCCCACCAAUGAGAUGAUUGAUACGAUAAAUGAUUACGUCAUGUCUCUGAUGUCUAGCAAGGAAAUGGUUUACCUAAGUUCAGACAGUAUUUGCAAAGAAGAUGGACAAGUGGGCCUUGAUGAACAUGUAUUCUCGAUUGAAUAUCUCAACACAAUCAAGUGUUCAGGAUUACCGAGUCAUGAAAUUAAAUUGAAAGAAGGAUGCAUAAUAAUGCUUUUCAGAAAUAUUGAUCCAUCUAAUGAGCUUUGCAAUGGCACUAGGCUGAUAGUAACUCAACUUGGGGAACGCGUAAUUGAAGGCAAACUCAUUUCAGAAAAAAAUGCGGGCAAAAGUUUCCCAUAGCUAGAAUGAUAAUGAGUCCAUCGGAUUUCGCUAAAUUUCCCAUUCGGUUUCAGAGAAGGCAAUUUCCUGUGAGUGUUUGUUUUGCUAUGACAAUAAAUAGAAGCCAAGAACAAUCUCUUUCAAAUGUAGGAUUAUACCUACCAAAACAAAUUUUUAGUCAUGGGCAACUCUACGUGGCGAUCUCAAGAGUCACUAGAAAAAGAGGUCUAAAGAUUUUAGUAUGUGAUGAGAGUGGUCAUAUGCAAGACAAAACAACUAACGUGGUGUAUGAUAAAAUUUUCGAUAGAUUAUGAGGUAAUUGCAAAUUUAAUAUUUUAUUCAAUCUUUAAAAGUUAAGUCAUUAACGAUAUUAUUUAAAAUAAUUUUUUUCUUAUUUUUUGUUUGGCUGAUUUGAUAUGUGCUUAUUGAUACUGCAGAGGUUGGUACAACAUUUGAAACUGGAGUGAAAAUAAGCAAAAGAAUUAGGAUGAGACCUCUAGAGUACUGGAAAUGAGAGAGUUUCUUAUACAGACGAGUUGAAGACAGUGGGUAUACCUCUAGAGUACUGGAAAUGAGAGAGUUUCUUAUACAGACGAGUUGAAGACAGUGGGUAUAUUUUUUUUGUCUCUCAGUCUUUUGUUGGAAUUUAACAUUUGAUAUCUUGGUAUGUGAUAGGCCUAAUUUAUGACUUCAAAUCACGUUUCAAAUCAUUGUUGCAACUUCUCUUCUAAUAUUUUUUGAAUCAAAACUUUGCUUAUAUAGACAUUUAAUUUAUGUUGAUUUCAAAUAAAUAUUACAUCUUUUACUUUAGAACAAAUUUAUUAAAUACUAUUCUUAUUGACGAAAUUAUCACUUCUGCACAAUAUAUUGAAUAAUUACAAAUAUUUGUAUUUUAAUAGAUCCCCGUCGAUUUUCGACGGGUUACCAACUAGUGUCAUUACAAAAGGUUUUUGCUCAUCAAACCGGCCGACUAUUCAAAUCGUGAUGUUCGUUUGAUAAUUUUCCCUCUCAACCAACACCACGUACUAUGCGUUACUGUGUAGAAGCUACUAUUAUCAGAAUUUGAUUUUGCAAAAGGUUUAAUUAAGAUAAUGUUCCAACUUUAAAAGAUUUUAUAGUGCAUGGACUCGUAAAGGUUAUUAAUUAUUUAAGUUUAGAAUCAACCUUUAGAACCUAACAAUAAAGACCUAAUUUUAGCUUCUCUCUUUUAUAAUUUGGACAUAUUCAUUUUUUUGCACGAGAUUAGAGUUGACAUAGACAUUCUUAUGAUGUUAAAAUUCAAAAGUAAUAGAGAACUUUUAAUACUCAUUGUCUAGACUAUCCUCUCGUAUCAUUAAUGUUUUAUUGUGGAAUGGCUGACUAUCGAAUAAUUGAAUUGGUAAUUUUUUUUGAUAAAGUUAAGACUUUACAACAAUAUGAGUUGUAAUUCUAAAUAUUCGAUGGUUAAAUUGAUGGCACGCCCCAAUAAUGGACUUCGAAAUCUCUCAAUUUAUUUUGAUUUUUUUAUGUCGAAUAAACAUCUAAAUCUUAAGUCCAAUUUGAAGGCAAAAAAUUGUGUAGAUCUUACUUUACAAAGAACAUUACAAUUUUAUUUACAUUGCAAAUUAAAAAAUCGAAUAUUUAUUGCAAAUAACUCCAAUUACCGAAUAUCAAAAAGUUACGAAUAACCAUUUCUGCAGUUAUAAUAAGAAUUUCAAGAAUGAAGCUUGAUAUUAAGGUAGUGGGAGAUGUUCAAUAAAACACUCUAAAAUGAUUUAGAGGAAUAAUAAUGGGUCAAAGAUAAAAGUGGGAUUGGAAGUUGGAUGGCAUGAUAAAUGGGCCCAACUCAGUGGAAGAAACGGUGGGAAUCCAUCAUUACAAAAACAAACAAUUUGCCAUCAUUUCUAUCUGUCCUUUGCUGCUCUAUUUCUAUUUAAUUUUGCGUUGUAUUUUCUACAUGUAUCUAUCAUCUUGUGAGCAUAAAUUUUCUACACGUAGAUAUAGAGUUAUUAAAAAUCUAUCAGCUUGUGAGCAUAGAAAAUAUAAGGGUUAGUUGCAUAUUGAUUCUUAACAAAUUUUUAUUUUGAAUAUAAAUUUUAUUUUAUUUUUAAAUUAUUUAAUAAUUAAUUUUUUCUCAUUUCGCAAACUCAUUUUAUUUUCGGCCAAACUUUAAGCCUAAGUUAAAUGACGUCGUUUCCAUCCAACUAUACAAUAAGACGUUGGUUCUAUGUUUUCACACGGUCAUAUUUAUACGACAUGAGCAUAUUUACAGCAAACGAGUAAAUUUAUGUCAUGUUAUCGCGAUGAAAAUAGAGAAGUAUGCAAAAUGAGAAAAAAAAAUUAAGUAAUUUUAUUAAAAGAUUUUAAAGAGUGCGUGCAAAAUAAGAAUUUAUUACAAAUUCAGUAAUUUAUAGUAUAUAAUUAACCCAAAAGAUAAUGAUACAAAUGUCCGCACUAAAUGUAUAUAGGAGUCCUCAAUGGGACAUCAAAUAGUGCGAACUCCUGUAUGUGAACAGUGAGGUUUAGGGUUUAAAACCCACCGCUCUCCCUCCCCCAAUUCAAAAAAAUAAAAUGUAUACAAGAUAUUUUCAAAAACUAUGAGUUCGAUCGUAUGUUUCAAGAAAUAUGUGACUAUUUCCAAUGGUAAAAAAAAGAGAGGUCCAAGUUAAUUUACCGAUGAGGGAGCCGAAAGCUUGGGUUCCAUGUUAGGUUUUAUCCAUAUUCUUGUAGUAAAUACCAAAAAAAAUAAAAUAAUAGUAUAAUUCUUGUAGGAAAUAUCUUGAACAUUGUUAAUUUUCUCAGUUGGAUCCAAAUUGAAGAUCUAACAAUUAAGAAGUAGAAAUACCUUGUGCAAUAAGAUCGAAAUUGGAAAUGUGAAUGACAUCGAAAGCCUGCAAGAUAGAGGUCGAAGAGUUUUCAGGAAAGAGAUUCUGAUGCUUAAGUAAAUAUCCAAAAGAGAAUUUAGGAGAUUUGAGUGAUGAAGUGAUAAAAAUCUUUGUAAUCAAAUCAAUGAUGUCAUAUUAUUAUAGCAAACAAUCCAUUCUCAAUUUUAAUUCGAAAAGGAGCAGAAGAUAAUUAGUGGGUGAGGAUAUGGAAAACCUAGUUAUAACUAGUGAUAUUAUCAAUAUCGAUUCACUCGUGGACACAAAUAUUUCCUUUUCCGAACUUCCACAUCUUACUAUCAUUAAUUUUAAUUUCCCUCUAAAAAACAAAAAAAAAAUGUUAAUUUGGCUAUUUGUUCACAAACUCUUGCUUUGCAGAUUUAAUACACACUUUAAAAGAUUAAAUGUUGUAACAUUUGUAAUUGAUCUCAUUAGAGGAGAAAGACUAGGUUAAAGUUACAUUAUUUAAGUGAAAGAUAAUGCAAUAGUAGUUAUCAAGUUAUGAGAGUUGAGGAACAUAUUUUUAGGAAGCUAUAACUCUAUAACUCCAUGAUAUCCAUCCAUGACUUGUAACUUAUCCAAAAAAGUUGCAUUUCAAGAUUGCAGAACAUCUAUAAAAGGAUGUCUCAUACUUGAAUGUAGUAGAGCUAUAUAACUUGUAUUUUUUAUACAGCAAAAUCUUUGAUUUUGUCUAAUACUAUAAUUUUGAGAGAUUUGUGAGAAUGAUAUUUUUUACUAUAUUAUUUUCUCAGUUUUUUUUCAAGUCUUUGUGACGUUAGGAUUUGUGGUUAUAGAUCGUUCUAUAAUUCAUGUUUUAAUAUUUUUGUCGCUAGUAAUGACAUUGAUUUAUUGGGUAAUAUAUAGAGGCGUGACCAAAUUUACUCUCCGAAGUUUGAGUAGUAGAUUGAUUAGUUUUACUUCUAUGGAUCAUGAGCUCAUUAUACUAUCGAACUUAUAUAAUACUAUAAUAUAUAUAAAAAAAUUAUUAUGUCAUUAAAAUGAGACCCUCUCCACGUGUAUAAUAUAAUAUAGACUCGAUCUAGUAAAUCAAGCAUGCAUCAAUCAAUUAUUAAUAGUAAAAUCAUUAUAUAUUAUAUAUUUGAGUAAUAAAAUAAAUAACUUAUAUAAAUAAAGCACACUGACAUGAAAAUAAAUGUCAAAACCACCUUCUUGAAUCUAAACCUAGUUUUUUCCUUGUGUUGGGGAACAUUUUUAACCUUGGAAGUUGAUGGCUAUUUUAUUUCCAUUGACCCAUUUCAAUUAUGAUCAAAAUAAAGUGAAUCCUCUAAACAAUCAUUACCUUGAUUGAAAUUUAUUCCCCAUUAGAUUUUGGAUUGCCCUCUUUUUUCUCCCAACAUGUAAAGAAACCCCCUUUUUCUCUCUCUCUCUCUCUCUUGUUUUUAUUUAAGAGAGAAAAGAAAUAGAGAAUGUAUGGUAGGAUAAAAGAGGAUGGCAUGUUGCAAGAAAUUUGUCAUGUCGUGUAAGGAAAAGUGGGUGCAAAAACUUGUUGCAGUGAAAAAGGGUUUAUGUGUUGGAAGGGUAUAUUUUGCAAAUGCAUGACAGUCCAAACAAAAGGAAUUUCAUGAAUUGAUGGCACUCAAAUAAUUUCCACCUAAAUUAUCUAACAAAGUCUACACCUUUUCUAGUUUUUCUUUCUGAAUUUCCAAUUCUGUUUUUACAUUCAUCUCGAUUUUAUUACUUUUAUUUGUUUGUUUUUGGCGGGGAUUGUGAUGAUAUUAUCUUACUAUUUUUUUUAUUAUUUUUCUAAAUGCACGGUUAAUAUUAUAUAAAGACCAAAAAAUAACAUCAUAAUCCACUUUUGUGCGAGUUUAGCUGACGAUAGAAUUACCGCCGUCAAAUUUAACAACGAAAUUUACAACAGAUAAGUUGGUCGUUAAGUUGAUUAUUAUUUGCACUACAAAAAAAUCGUUGAUUACCGACGGCGAAAUGCCGUCGGUAACAAAAGACGGCCGCCGGUAAAUAGUGUUACCGGCGGCAAGAUGCCGCCGCUAAACGGUUCGUCGGCAACGACAAUAACGGCGGCGAACGGCCGCCGUCGGCAGUUAACUGCGGCGAUGCCGCCGGAAUUGUCGUCGUUAAACGGCGGAGCCAUGCCGGAGAAUUAGCGGCGGCAACCACCGCCGCUAAUUACCGAGGGCGUUUUUGCCGUCGGUAGAGAGCCACCGGAGUCCGGCGGGCCCCUGCCGGAAAACUAGCGACGGCGAUUACCGCCGCUAAGUGGCGGCGGCAGAACGCCGUCGGUAACAAGCCAGCGUCGUCCGGUGGUUCUUUGUCGGAGGGGCCCGGGUAUUUACCGAGGGCAAAACGCCGUCGGUAAUUACCGACGGGGUUUUGCCCACGGUAAUUUUUUUAGUUUUAUUUUUUUAUUUUAUUUUAUUUAUUUAUUUAUUUAUUUAUUAUAAUAUUUAUUUAUUUAUUUUAUUGUAUAUCCACAAUUUAUUUCCGUAUUUAUACGGUAUUGCAUACUUUAGACGAACUUCCCAUUCGGUCACCCGACUUCCCAGUGGGUCACCCAUCUUGCUUGUGCUCUGUGUUAAGCACGCUUAACUUUAAAAUUCUUUUCGAGUGAUCACCAGUACAGAACACUCGUAUUAUUGAUAUAUCUACACCUAUUAAUUCAUUUAAAUGCUAUAUACUCACUCAUAUAUUUAUAAUCUUUGAAUAUGUGGAGAUAAUACCUGAAAUAUUUUGUUAAUUAGUGNNNNNNNNNNNNNNNNNNNNNNNNNNNNNNNNNNNNNNNNNNNNNNNNNNNNNNNNNNNNNNNNNNNNNNNNNNNNNNNNNNNNNNNNNNNNNNNNNNNNNNNNNNNNNNNNNNNNNNNNNNNNNNNNNNNNNNNNNNNNNNNNNNNNNNNNNNNNNNNNNNNNNNNNNNNNNNNNNNNNNNNNNNNNNNNNNNNNNNNNNNNNNNNNNNNNNNNNNNNNNNNNNNNNNNNNNNNNNNNNNNNNNNNNNNNNNNNNNNNNNNNNNNNNNNNNNNNNNNNNNNNNNNNNNNNNNNNNNNNNNNNNNNNNNNNNNNNNNNNNNNNNNNNNNNNNNNNNNNNNNNNNNNNNNNNNNNNNNNNNNNNNNNNNNNNNNNNNNNNNNNNNNNNNNNNNNNNNNNNNNNNNNNNNNNNNNNNNNNNNNNNNNNNNNNNNNNNNNNNNNNNNNNNNNNNNNNNNNNNNNNNNNNNNNNNNNNNNNNNNNNNNNNNNNNNNNNNNNNNNNNNNNNNNNNNNNNNNNNNNNNNNNNNNNNNAAGAAAGAGAAUUAAUUUAAUAUCAAACAUUUUAACAAUUUAAUAUGAUAUAUUUAUAUGUAUUAUAAAUUUAAUUGUACCUGUAAUUCAUCAAAAAAUUUAUCCUUCAUCGUCGGGGGCGUCAACUUCCAUGUGUACCCGCCUGGGGUUUUCAAACAUCUUAAAUGUGCACGUGCAAGCUUUGGACAGGCCAGUGGGCUCCAACAAAACACUGUGUACAAGUAAUUUUGUCACUUAAUCAUGGUGUACGAGAAACAGUAAUUUUAACUAAUGUACUUACCCAGUGUCAGGAUGCCUCUGAAAUACCGUCCUCCCAUCAGGUGCCUUAACCUCUCUCUCUCUGAUAGCGGCAGCUGUAGGGCCCCUAGGCCUUCUAGCCCGUGAACUACUAGAAGCAUUGGGAGUCUCGGGAGUCCCAGAAAUAUGCGUCCCAGACCCAUCAGAUGUAUCUGCUGUAGCUUCUGGCGCAUUAACGCCAGAUCGCCUCCCAAAUCCCAACAAACCUCGAGAGGUAGACAUGAUGCCUGUUGCAUACAAUAAAAUUAACAAAUAUAUAGCGAAACGUAACAUUAACAGUAACUAACAAACAUAACAAAUUUGCAAUCAAAUUCAACCAAAAUGUGCAUUUACAUUUAUUCAUAAGCAUCACUACUAUCAUCAUCACUAUCGUUAGAUGUCAACGGGGAAUCAUCGUCUUCUGCUUCAUCGUCAUCUUCAAUCUCAACGACUCCACCGAGGGGAUGAAGGAGAAGUGGUUGUUCAAUGCCUACACUUGUGUGAGUAGGCAUAAUAGUAACCACUUCUUCUUGAAAUGGUUGAUCUAAUGUUGAUGUAGAUGCUGCAGUAGACACUUCAACCUUAGAUCUUGCGUUGACUUUGCAUGCUGACCACCUAAUUUUCUUUGAUUGGUUCGUACUGGGAUAGGGACAGUAAAACACUUGAACUACUUGACUCGCCAAAACAAAGGGAUCAUACUUCUUAUAUCUUCGUGUGUGGUUCAGUGAAACUAACUUGAAGUCUGUAUCAAUAGAAGUUCCCUGAGCCGACAAGUCAAACCAUUCACAGUUGAACAAGACUGUCUGCUUAAUUGGAUACCCCGGAUACUCCAGCACGCAAACCUCUUGCAGACGCCCAUAAAAGUCUAGCACAUCUCUAUCACUACCAUAGACCGAACCUUUUAUGCAAACGCCACUGUUCACAGUCGCACUCUCUCUAUCAUGAUCAGUUGUGUGAAACCUGUAGCCAUUCACGAAAUAGCCGGAGUAUGUUUCAAUCUCCCUUAAUGGUCCAGCUAGCAAGCGACCUAAUAUAAGGGUUCAACUCGUCGUUACAAGGACGACAAACCUGUUUCACACAAAUAUCAUUUAAGUUUGCUAGCCAAUUUUAGAGUAAGUAAAUGUAUAUUUAACAUAAAUUUAUCGUCUCUUACGUAAUGGUUAAACCACAGAAUAACUCGUUGUGAAACGCGACUUCAAACUCUGCAUCAGUCAUGUAAGGAUUUGCAUAUCGUUUUUCCUCCUCGAAGAUACCUUGGAUACAAAGAAUCAAAUAAAUAUGUUAACACCUAUAUAUGAUGAACACUUCUUAUACGUAAAUUGAACGAGAAUACUCACUUGUUAUAUGUCUCUGCAACCUCUGCACAAUUGCUCAAAAUAUACAUGUGUGCAGCAAGCCAUUCGCGCUCAUCCAUGUAUCUCUUCGUCCCUCGGCCAAGUGAACGCCCAAUAGGUUUGAAUAUGGCGAGACAAAGAGGAUCAUCAUUUUCAGCAACGGGCAUCUCAAUAUUGCGAGGCAAAGUUGUCCACUUUGUAGAUAUUUGAUCUUCAAAGUAAAACGAAGAGAAGGUUGACAUUUCUGCAAGUAAGUAUGCAUUGGCGAUGGACCCCUCAACCUUGGCUUUAUUUUUUAUAUGAUUUUUUAAUGUCCUCAAAUAUCUUUCAAAAGGGUACAUCCACCGAUAUUGCACUGGACCAGCCAAUCGUGCCUCAUCUGCCAAAUGAACUGGUAGGUGCUCCAUUGAAUCAAAUAAACUAAGGAGGGAAGAUACGCUCAAGUUUGCAAAGAGUAACAGCUAUCUUCUCACUCAGUAUUCUCAUGUCAUAUAUGGCCACGUUGCGGGAUGUUAAUUCUCUGAAGAAAAAACUUAAACUCUGUAAUUGUCUCCCAAACAUCUUAGGAAGAAGUCUUUAAAGGCAACAGGCAGAAGGAUUUGCAUGAACACGUGACAGUCGUGACUUUUCAUGUUGUGCAUCUUCAGGGCGUUCAUGUCAACGCAUCUACUAAUAUUUGACACGUACCCAUCGGGAAACUUAAGACUCAUGAUCCAUUGAAGUAAGAUCUUCUUCUCUUCCCUGUCAAGCGUAUAACAUGCUUUCGGAUACCUCGGUUCCAUCCACUUUCUUCAACUCUUUCCGCUUGCAGAAGGUGUUCAGUUCUUCUCUGGAUUUUCUGUAUCUUUGUCUUCCCUUCACAUUCAGGACAGUAUUAAACACGUUAUCAAACACAUUUUUCUCAAUGUGCAUGACAUCCAGAUUAUGUCAAAUCAAAAGAUGUCUCCAAUAGGGUAGAUCCCAAAAUAUGCUUUCUUUUUCCACCCUACAUCUUGAUAUUUGGCGAGUUGAGCAUUCCUGCCAUCGAAGUCUUCGGUAACCUUCACGAAGCCUAACCCCUCGAUUUGAUUCAAGAUUUGUAUUCCUGAUCUUUGUUCUGGUGGACCAACAUUGCAUGUCUUAUUCCUCAAGAAUGAAGUUUUGUUUCUCCUAAACACAUGGUUAGGAGGUAAGAACUUCCGAUGAUUAUCAAACCACGAUGUUUUCCACUCAUCGGCAAAGUGAAUGCUUCUGUAUUCUCCAUGCAAUGUGGACAUGCCAAUUUCCCAGCUGUACCCCACCCAGACAACAUAGCGUACGCUGGAAAAUCACUGAUAGUCCAUAUCAGAGCUGCUCGCAUCUGGAAAUUUUGCUUCAACGAUAUGUCGUAAGUGUUCACACCAACCUCCCACAGAGAUUUUAACUCUUGUAUCAGUGGCUGUAAGAAAACGUCCAACUUCAUCUUUGGGUUUGAUGGGCCAGGCACGAGGACUGUGAGGAACAUGAAUUGUUCUUUCAUGCACAACCACGGAGGCAAGUUAUACGGCGUGACAAUAACUGGCCAAGAAGAAUAUUGACGCCCUGAUUGUGCAAAUGGGGCAAAACCAUCUGUAGAGAGGCCCAAUCUCACAUUUCUGAUCUCCUCGGCGAAUCCAGGAAAGACUGAAUUCAAAUGUUUCCAUGCCGGAGAGUCGGCCGGGUGGCGCAUUAUCCCAUCGUCUGUGGAGGUCGCAUGCCACCGCAUAUGUUCAGCAGUUGCAGGAGAUGCAAACAAUCUCUGCAAUCGGGGCGUCAAGGGAAAAUAGUGCAUCUGUUUGGCGGGCACUUGUUUCUUUCGGCGACUUCCAGAUGCACGCAAGCUGUCCUUAUAUCGUGAUUGGUCACAGAACAUACAACUAUGUAGCUCACUAGUUUCCCCCCAAUACAACAUGCAGUUAUUAACACAGCAAUCGAUCUUCUCUACUGGCAAACCCAAACCACGUAGAUUUCUUUUCGUACUAUAGAAGUCUUCUGGACGGUUGUUACCCUCUGGUAAAGCAGCUUUCAUCAUCGAAGACAUCUGAUUGUAAGUCCUCUCUGACAUGUGGCUUUCAGUCUUUAUGCUCAUGAAUUGAGUCAUCCAGCUUAAUUGUGUGUACGUGUCACAUCCUGCAUACAAUGGAGUAUCCGCUGCAUCCAACAUGUUAUAAAUCUGUUGAGCGUCAUUAUUGGGCGGCUGCUCCAGAUUUGGAGGAUCUUGAUAAUUACUAGGUCCAGACAUGGUCAUGCACCAUCCUUUCGUAGUUAUUGUAUAAUCCAUCAUCCUCAUUCAUUAUAGCAUGUUCUCUCGGCAUAUACAACGGUGCUUCCCCGUCGAGAAACCCAAACUACUGUAAUUCAGGAUAAAUUCACGCCUACUAACAUGUUUCUGACCGUAGGUACAUCUAAAUACGCUUGAUUCUUGCACUUCUUACACGGGCACCUAAUGUUACCUUGUCCAUCUGUGUACGCCGUUUGAUUUCUCGCCCACUCAAGGAAAAACUCCAGCCCCGUUUCAAAUGCAGUACGAUCAUUGUAUCUCGCGUACAUCCACAUACGAUUAUCACUCAUUCUUGCAAAUUCUAAUUAAAAAAAAAUAAAUAAAAUAUAAUAAAUUACUUGAAAACAAUCAUUUGUUGGGAGAAGAUCCUUAAGAAAUAAUCAAUUUCUACCCCAAAGAGAGAAGAUUCUUAAGAAAUUGAUUAAAUCUAUCCCACAAUAUAUAUAAUAACAUAACAUUUCAUAAACUCAUAGCACAUAACAUUUAAUUUAACAAAAUUAUCCAACAUAUAUAAAUUAUUCUAACAAACAACUUAAACUAAUUGAUUAAAAUUAAUAUAAUUUAAAAUUAAUCAUGCUUCAUAAUUUAAAAUUAAACUAACAACAUAUAUAAAUUAAUUAAAUAAAUUAAAAUUAAUCAUGCUUAUUAAUAUAAUUUAAAAUUAAUCAUGCUUCAUAUAAUUUAUUUAUAAACAAAGCCAAUUAUAAAUUAAUUAACUAGAUCUAACAAAUAAAUCUAUUUAAUUAACAUAAAUAUAUAAAUAAAUUAAUAAAUAAAUAAGAGAAGCGUACGGUGGUGGUUUCCGGCUGGGUGUCGUGAAGAAGGCGGCGAAACGAGGUCGUCGAACUACAAUGAAGAAUAUAAGUGAAAAUUAAAUAAUUAUAUAUAUAUAAUUAAAAUGAAUUAAAAAGAAGAGAGAGAGUUACCUGGGCGGCGGUCGGCGACGGCGGGUGGAGACCGGAGCAGCAGCAGCAGCAGGAGGAGGGGGAGGGGUUUCGUGUGCGGCGCAAAACUGAAAAAAGAAGGGUUACGAGUGCCCUAUAUAUUAUUAAUUACCGACGGCAAUUACCGCCGCUAAUUAGCGGCGGCAAUAUCGCCGUCGGUAAUGGUAUAAAAUUAAUUAAUUAUUGCGUAUUUUAAAAUUACCGGCGGCGUCGCCGCCGCUAAUUACCGGCGGCGAUUUUGCCGUCGGUAAUUGGCCGGUGAUUGCGAAAGGGCGGGUCGCCUGAAAUGUCGUCGCCGUGCCGCCGGUAAUUACCGACGGCAAAAUCGCUGCCGGUAAUUUUCGCCACUAUUUUCGCGUUUUUUUGUAGUGUUUAUUAUAUAAUUAAAAUAAACUCAUUGAGUGAAACUAUAGUGAAUGUAUUAUUGUAAAUAAUAGAUCUUCCUUUUUGCUAAUGAAACCCGUGUUUGUAUAAUUGUAUGUAAUGAGUACGUGAUUAUAUAUGUAAGAUCAUUUAAUCAAAUUAUAAACCUCCCUAAAACAAAAUAUAUUUUUAAUUAUUUUUGUUCAAGAUAUCGGAAAAAUAUAUGAAAUGCCAUCUAAUAAAUAAUUGUCGCCGAAAGUUCUCAUUAACUAAAACAAAUAAACUAAUAAAUGUAAAUAGUAGCCAGUGAAAAGUAGUGACAACAAAUUUUCCUUAAGAAAAACGAAUUUAGGAAACCUAUUUAUGAAUAGGUCAGAACUCAAGUCUUUGGUCUAGUGGUGCAGUAUAUCAAUACUUUGAUAAUCGGAAGAUUCCAAGUUCAAAUUUUGUCAACUUUUGAAGUCUUGUUACUUGGAGCGUGGAUAUUAUGGUUAAUGUGUACUGUAAAUUCGAUUAGUGUAGUCUUUUUUUAAAAAAAGUUGAUAUCUGAAGAUGAAGCUCAUUUUGUUGGUAAAACGUUUCUCCUCUAAUUAAUAGAUCAAAGAUUCAAGUCAUUUAAAAGACUAAAAUGUGCAUGCGUUUUUUUUUUUUAUUUGAGAGUAACAAUUUUCAGAAAAAAAAAACUUUGAAUUCUAAAUUAAAAUUUCCAAGCGAAAUGAAAAUGAGCUAGAGUUACGAACUUAUAAUUUGAUAAUCCAAUUGUUCCAUGAUUAUAAAUUUAUUUCAUACUGAACCAAAAUGAAAUUGAGUUGUACACAUUUUGAAGGUGUCAUUCAAGCAAACACAAAUAAAUUUAUUUGUAUGAACUUGUACAAGUACAUAGAACACUCAACUAUGAAAAGGGUUAAUGCUCAAGACCUUAUGGUUUGAAUUCUUUGUAGUGCUGUUUUUAAAUUAUUUAUUUAUGUAAUUUAUAAAAAAUGAUAAUUUUCAAUUUAAUUUUCACUUAACAUAAUAAAAUCGCCUAAAAAAACAUAAACUAAUAAAACUAAAAACGGAUAUAUGUGGCGAAAUAAAUUGAGAUUGUUGAAAAAAAAAUUGGUUGGAGUGAAACAGGGGAUUCAACCUAGCCUAGUCUGAAAGACUGUGUGAAAUACUGCCAAAAUCAAGAAACCUUUAUGUCAAAAUUAAUGUUGCUAAUGUCACAUUUUUGGUAGCUACCUAUUGGCUCUACUUGGUAAAAAUACACCAAUAAGUGCCCAAACUCCCACUGCAAGUAUAUUCACUUACAAAAAAUCUAUAUAGCGUGGCCAUCCAAAAAUUAAGAAAUAGGAAAAAUUUUAAUUUAUUUUAAAUAGAAAUAAAAUUUGAUUAUUUUACUGUAUUGUCUAUAUUAUUAUCCCUCCUUCUCCGAAAGAACUUCCUAGAAGGGAGUGACACAAGUUUUUUAAAAAAAGUUGUUAAGUGUGAGUAAAAUGUUGUUAAGUGUAUUGAAAGUGGUAAAAAGAUGUUAUAAUUUGUAUUGAGAGUGGUGAAAAGUGAAAAAUAAGUGGUGAGGUAUAGUCAAAAAAUAAAUAUGAAGUUCUUUUGUGGACGGAUGGAGUACUUUUUUUUGCAUUUUUAAAUAAUUUUAUUUAUUUUUAAAUUAAAAAAUUACAAAAAAUAACUACAAUGAAAAAAAUAUCGUAAAAUAACUAAAUAUUAUUUUUAUUUUAAAAAAUAAGUUAAAUAAAUCAAUUUUUUUACCUAUUUAAUAAUUUAUGGGUGGCACCACAAUGUGACUGCUUAGAUCACUGAUCCACUUAUUGUAGUUUUACAUUAAUUAUAAUUAUUAUCAAAGAAAGUGAAAAUUAAUCCAAUAAAUCGUCAUUAAUUAUAAUUAUUAUUGAUCGAAAAUAGGUAUGAUAGAUGCCACAAAUUAUGUGUGGCAAAUGUAGUUCCGCUUCUAGUAACAUAGAAUUGCGAGAGAAGCCUCUCUAACAUGCGCCGCAGGGGACACUCUUUCAAACAAGUGCAGCUUGCCUUCACAUUUUGUUCACACACACACACGCUAACCUAUUAUUUCUUUGGGCACUAGUCAACACUUUCAUUAAUUAUAAGAUUUAUAACUUCUAAACAAAAAAGAGAGAUUAUUUUUGAAAGUGUUGCUUCGUCAUGUUGUGCAUUGUGUUGGAACAAUACAAACAACACAAAGAAUAAAGCAGCGGGAAAAAAAAUGGGAAGACACGAGAAGAUACAAAAAGUCUUCAAGUUAUAAAUUAUAACUUGAAGACGUCUUAUGGCAAAAUAACUAAAUAGAGAAUGAACAACUCAUGCUCAAUACCUUUACAAUGACAUAGGUAUUAAACACAUGACAUUCUCACUAAAGAACAAAACUCGGUUCAAGAGUAAUACUCCGAAAUCUUAAAAAAAAAUAACCAGUGUUGUAAAAGAUGUUAUUGUAACAAACAACAAAACACUCGUACAAAGACAACAUGUCUUUCUCUCAAGCUGCAAGCUUUAUGAGAACUCCUCCUUAACUUUUAUAGACGUUUAAACUUGUUCCCCAAGCUUCGAAAAACGUGGCUGCAAGAUGGAUAUAAUGGGCAUUGAGGUGGUUAGGGUUAGACCAAGUCUCCCUCUUUUUAUGAACAACCCACUACCUCUUCUCUCUCCUUUAUCUCUCAAUAAUAUUUGACUCGAGCUUUUAAACCCUACAAAAACAAACACGUGAAAAAGGCAAAACAACACAAUUAAAUUUCAUAACUUUAGAAAAGUUUUAUGCAGUUAAAAAUUAACUCCAACAAUUUUGUUCCCGUACGAGUGUUCUAUGAUGUAAAAAAAUGUAUAUUAAGAAAAGGUGAUAGAUUUACUCUUUUUACUAUUGCAUGAAAAAUCAAAAACCAUAAAAGCUUGAUAUCGUUUUCGUGAAUUCUAAAAUAUAACGCUACAAAACAAGUAUAAUUUCCAACUAAGAUACUUAUUUAGAUAAUGAGUGGUCAUUUAGAUAAUGACAAAUUAUUAUCGUUGUUCAUCAAUAGUACUCAACAUUUUAAUAACUGCAUAUUAAGGUUAUAGUUUAACGCAUCUACAAAAAAUUGAUGAAUUUCGAACUUUUUUUAACAAUGUGGCCAUUAAUUUUAUUAAUUAGGCCACUUAUAAAGACAAGUAAAAUCUUUUCUACAAGAAGAUAAAAUUAUGAUUAAUAUACAAGCGAAGUAGCUAUUUUUGGAAGUAAUAUCGAGGGUUUUGUCUAUUCUCAUAUAGUCCUAUAAAAAAUGAUAGAUAAGUAUAUCAAACACUAAAUUAAAGUAUGUACAUCUCGUGUGUGUUACUAUUGUAACGUUAUAAGUAUAAUAAAUUACCAAUUGCAAGAACGAUUAGUUAAGGUCACAAUGGUUUGUGUAUAAUUAGAACUAAAAUUUUGAUUAUUGUGGGCAUUGUGUUGGCCUAACAAUAUAAUAAUUAAUACUCCCCCCGUCUGCGAUAUUGUUUCCACAUUUGUCAUUUCGGUCCGUCCACGAUAUCGUUUCCACUUCCAUUUAUAGAAAUAGGGUCCACAAAUUUUCACUCACAACAAUAAUGGGACUCAAACUUCACUCACUAUAAUAUUUAUUAUUAUCUACUAUUAUUCACUAUUUUUCUUAAAACCCACGCCGAUAUCGCGGACGAAAAGAGUAUAUGACAUGAAAGAUUUUAAGUUCGAACUCAUAGUAGCAUUUUUGAGAAAAUUUCAUGAAGGAAAAUUAAUUAGGGGAUGUGGUAAUUAGAUACUACUCCCUCCGUCCCAAUAAAAGUGGCCACAUUUCAUUUUUGGGUGUCCCAUUAAAAGUGGCUACUUUCUAAAAAUGGCAAAAGUUUACUUUAAUUAAGUCAACAAUUACUCACUAAUUUGGUCAACAAUUGUAGGCCACUUUCUAAAAAUGUCAAAAUUACUCACUAAUUUGGUCAACAAUUGUAGGCCACUUUCUAAAAAUUACUCACUAAUUUUGAUGGGUCACACUCAAUUAAAACAUAACAAUCCCUUUUUUAAUCUCCGUGCCCAAAAAAAAGUGGCCACUUUUAUUGGGACGGAGGGAGUACUAUACUUGACAACAAAUGGGAUGUCCAUGUGACCAACCUGCCCACGAGGCAUCCCCACACCCUACCCCUUACCCCUAACCCUACCCCAUAUAAGCAAAAUAAAUUGCUAGUGGAGCCACCUAUGUCCUCCCUCCACGUGGCAUCAAAACGAACCAACAACAUCAAUCGGCAGAAAAAUCACAUUUUUUUGGACAGAAGAAGUAUUGUGGAUGGUUUAUCAAAUAUGUAUGGUCUUGUAAUUGCAAUAGUGAUGAUUUAUAAUCAAUGGCAGAAACAUGAAAUUUCAUCUGAAAGACAAUAAUCUGAAUUUCAUAUAUACAUGUGGUCAAGUUAUGAAUUUGUAUACAUAUAUACUCCAUAUUAACUUUUGCUGACUCAUACGAGAAAUCAAUUCACUAAAUGCAGCUUGACUGCAUGAGAUAGUAUAUUAAAUUUGACCUGUUUUUUUUCGAUACAAUUAUUUAAAAAAAUAAAUUUAUUUUAUAGAUGUGUAUGAGUCCAUAUUUAUAUACUAAUAUUUAAUAUAGUUUGAAAUAAUUAUUUAAAGAAAAUAGGUCAAAUAGAAUAAAACAUGCAUCCCAAAAAAUAAUAGAGGCCAAUGGGACAGAUAAAGUAUUAAUUAGUAUAUCCAAAUACAUAAACAAACAGGGGAAAAGUUUUAUCCGGCCCGGUAAAUAAACGAGCUUAAAGAUUGAGAAGCUGAACCAAAGAAAAUAAUGAUGUAUCUAUGAUUAAAACUAAAAAUCAAGAUUUUCGCGUAGUAAUAAGUCUGUAUGAUUAUUAUAUUCGUACUAGCUAGGCACUACAUAUGUAUUACUGGUAAAGUAUUAAGUUGGUGGGAAGGGCUAGAGAAGGAUUUGACUUCGAAUCGAAGGCAAAAGGUUAAGAAAUGAAGUUUUAUUUAUUUUAUGAGUUAGUGUUAUUUAUUUAUUUUGUUGAAGUUUUGCGCUCUAAUGUAAAUGCGAAAUCUCUUCUCCUAUCCUUGUGGGUAGAUUUUGAUUCUAACGUAUAAUUUAUUUUAGGGUCCAUAGUAUUUUAUAUUCCUGAAUUCAACGUUUUUCAUAAAAUAUUUCGAACUUUUAUUUCUCCUAAAAAAUCUUGAACUUUUAAUUUUUUUUUCCAUAAAAUGUCCCACUAUACAAAAUCCGAUGACGGAAAAAUGUCUUCUAUCGCCGAAUCAAAUAUUUUGGGGAUCGUCAUUGUUGGAAAAACAUAUACAUUUGUAUACAUUUUUUUUAUAUAUUAGGAACUACCAUUGUUGAAAAACGCUGAAAGUGCAUGGGAUUUUUUCAUCUUUUUGUCAUCGAAUUUUGCGUAGCAAGACAUUUUAUGGAAAAAACUGAAAAUUCAUUUUUUUUAAGAGAAAAUGAAAAUUCAGAAUUUUUUAACUAUUUAUUUUAUGGAAAAUGUCACUUUCUAUUCCAUUGUUUGGCCGAAUUAUUCAUUAUUCACAACUUUCUGAUAAUAUAUACUCCCUCCGUCCCUGAAAUAAGUUCCUAUUUUUCCAUUUUGGGACGUCCCCCAAAUAAGUUCCUCUUUCUUUCUUUCUAUUUUUGGACAACUACUCCACCACUAAUAAUACAUUAUUUAUUCUUACUUUUCACCACUCUCAAUACUAAUUAUAACACUUUUUCACAUUUUCACCACUCUCAAAACUAAUUAUAACAUAUUUUUCUCCACUAUCAAUACACUUUAUCAUUUUCCUUAAAACCCGUGCCAUCCCCAAAGAGGAACUUAUUUUGGGGACGGAGGGAGUAAUUGAUACCCAAUCUAUUUACUUUUUUUUAAUUGUGUCCUGUAAAAAUUUUCCUGCACCGGGGAGUUGCGUGGAAGUCCCCACCCCUUCCCCAAAAAAAGUUGAGUAACCUGUUCGAUAAAUAAUGAUUGAAACUAUUUAGAUCGACAAUUUAAUAAAAACAAACAGAGCAUAUGAAAAUAUAACUAAAUAAAUAUAAAAUCUACAUUGUCUCUCUUUCUCUCGAAUUACCAGAGGUAAGCUAUUCUAUAGUGCGUUAGAACCUAAUUUCGGUCUCUGCUAAUCUAUGAGUUUGGAGUGGCUGUCCUAAUUUUUUUUUCAGGUCUUUGACGUGCUAAAACUUGAUUCUGGACGAGUCCAUCUCCUUUAGUUUUCUAUAUUAACUGCAAUUUUUGCUCUCGUUUUGUUUUUGUUUGUUUUCUUCUCUCUUCUGAUAGACGAGUACUUUUUUUUCCCUUUGUUAGUAUUUUUUUUACUGAAUUUUCAUUGAAAUGGUUUUCAUGAUGCUCAGUCUUUAAUUAGCGUUUAUGUGAUAUUAAUGAAUUUUUAGAUUUUUUUUUCUCAAUAAAUUUUAAUUUUAAUUCAGCAGAAGUAGGCUAAUCUAUGUCAACCUUCGAAUAAACCAAUCGGCAAUCGCUAUAGAGUGCGUAAGGUACAAUCAAUCAACGUACAACAACGCAAAGCAUCUCAGAAUUUUGUCCAAAGCUACCAUGUCAGCUUCAAUUAAUGCAUACUAACGGCGUCGUACAGCCUUCCCUUAAAUUUGGGAAUAAACAUUUCUUGCUUGCUCGCUCAAAUUGAACUAAAAUUUAAAGAAGCUGUCACUUGAGGUACUCUAUGCAUUGUUACUUGAGCCUAGCUAGCGCUAGGAGUAUUUGCAAAAAGAAUAAUGUUAUUUGAAGAAAGUUUUUUGAAUAAAUAUAGUUAAAUAUUUUUUAAAAAUUAUUUAUUUAUAAUUUAAAAAAUGAAUUAAUUUUAUCUUUUCCAUAUUGUAGUGUUUUUAUAAUUUUUUAAUAAACUUUUUAAUUUUUAUUAUUUUUAACGUAUAAACACUUAGGGCUGAGAAUCGGGUCGGGUUCGGGUACCCGAAGGGUACCCGAACCCGAAAACUGACCGAAACACCUACUCGAUCCCGAACCCGAUUCUGAAAUCGGGUUCCCUAAUACCCGACUCGGGUACCCGAAUCGGGUAUUCGGGUACCCGAAAUUACCCGAUCGACCAAAAUGAAUUGAAAUUAAGCUGCGAGAAUUGGAGAGCAGAAAUAGAGAUUCAAAAGCAAUAAUUAAUCACACAGAUCCAUUAAUCCCCACUAAAUAAAUUCGAAAACUGUUUUUUUAAAAAAGAAGAAGAAGAAGAAGAAGAAGCGAGGGUUGCGGUGGGAGUUGCGGCGACGGCGGGGAUGCACCUGCACGGCUGCGGCGGCGGCGAUUGCUGACUGGGGACACGGGCGGCGGCGGCGAACGGCGAGGCGAUUGUUGACUGGGGACACGGGCGAGGGUUGCGGUGGGAGUUGCGGCGACGGCGGGGCUGGACUCUGGUGUGGGCGAGGGGCGGGGCGGCCGGGCUGGCGAGGAGCGAGGGGCGACGGCUCUGGAGUGAGAGCCGAGAGGUUAGGAGUUUGGGAUUGAAGAAUAUUUUCAGGGGUUAGAUUGAUUUGGAUUGAGGUGAGGGCCGGCGGGCUGGGUUGGAGUUUGGGAAUUGAUUUGGAUUUUGGGGGAAAGUACAAAGCAGUACAGGGGCGGGUGGGAAAGUACAAAGCAGUUUGGGAAUUAGAUUUAGAAUAUUUUUCAUAUUUAAUUUAAUUAAAUAGUUUAAAAUUUAUUAAUUAAAAAAUCGGGUAAUUCGGGUAUACCCGAUACCCGAUUUUUUCACACCCUAAAUACCCGACCCCGACCCCGAUCCCGAAUUUUUCGGGUAUAGGGUACCCGAUACCCGAUUUUUUCGGGUCGGGUAUCGGGUACCCGAUUACCCGAUCCCGAAAUUCCCAGCCCUAUAAACACUAUACAAAAUACUUCAUUCAUCCUAUUAGUAUAAUGUUCUACAAUUACUUUUGGCACGGAUAUUAAAAAAAAGUGUAGUUAGUGUAUAAAGUUAGUUGGUGGAAGAUAUUGGAUAAUUAUUUUAAGUAAGUUGAUGUAUAAAAUGAGUUGGAUCCACCAGUAAUAAUAUUUUAAAGGGUUAAAUGCAUGUAAUAUCACUAACUUUGAUCGAAUUCAAAUCUAGCACGAAUUUACAAAAUUCCAUUUUUACAUACCAACUUUAAUCCAUAUUCAAUUUUUGCACCAAUUUGUUCUCCGGUGGUGUAAAAAAGAAAAAGACACGUGGUGAUGACACGUCUUCCAAAUGACGUGCGGAUAAAUAGAACAUUGUCAUAUAAGUUAAUUGCGAUUCGACAACGUUGAAUCAGUUAGGAGAUGUGAACGACGUCGUUUUCAAUCUUAUGAUGUAAUCUGAUUUUGGCCCAAAUAGAUUUAGGGAUUUUCAUAUUCCCUAGGAGUUGUACAUGCUUCGAGGACUGUCAUCUUUCUCUCACGUCGUAAUUGAAGAUUCCAACACAAAGAAAGUUCAUUUCAAGUAGCUUAUAGUUGUUUAAUCGGUGUGUGGUCCCUGAAGAAUACGUCGGGGAAGGCAACCGCUGCAGAAGGUGGUCCUUACUUGAAGGAAAGCGUUGUAUUCGUAUGGUAUUAAUGUCCGAAUUAUGUACGGGAUCUCCAGAAUUCUGUGCAUAACUUGGCUCCAUUUUUUGAGCAUCGAAACUGUGCACAACAUGUGUAUUGUAACUAAAAGAAGAAAUUUAAAGGAACAACCUUAAAGAACAUCUUUUGAAAAACAGUAAGGAGCACAUAUCAAGAAGAAUCAGAAGACCAUGAGACAAGAACGACGAAUUAGAAGACAUCAUGCUUAGGAGGCUUCGAAAGGAAGAAGAUGACACUCUCUUAUAGCUUAGAAACAUGAGAGAUACGAGAGAUAGAUGAGUGAAGAAGAAAUAAAAUUAGGGUUCUAAUGUGUGUAAUGUAUUGAUUUAUAUUUGUUUCAUAUUUCAUUUAAAACGAUAAAGUUUUAAAGCUAACAAAACACAACGUUUUGCUCGUCGGCCAAAAAAUACUAAAGCGUGUGCCGACAGGCCACAUCAAUGACACAUUGAUACGAGGAAAAAGAGAAAAGCAAUGACCUAAUAACAAUCAUUGAGAGUACAGACUUUAGGCCUUGUUUUUUUUUUUUUUUUGAGUAAGACUUUAGGCCUUGUUAAAACCUGUUUAAAGAAAAUUCCAUAGAAAAAACUUUAAGGAGAAAAAGACGCGUGUCUAUAAAAAAUAAAUAAAUUAUGUAGUGUUUGAGAGGAUUCCUGGAUUCGAACUGUCUAUAACUUUUGUUCAUAAUCAACAAACCACAAAUUAAUCACACUUAUAUCAUUGGCGAAUGGCGAUAAAUAGGAACUAACCACAAACUUAACGCUAAUAUCUCCCAUUAAUUAUUUUGUGCUUACACAAAAUUGCACGGUAUUUAUGAUCAUUUUGGAUUUGUUAUAUAAUUAGACCUGAUCAAGGUUAUGGAGCUCAUAGAUCUUAUGUAUUUUGUAAAUUUAUAAACCCGAAUGUAAAUCCAAUACUAUAUAAAUACAAUCUAGAUAUCCAAUUGGUCAUAUGCGAACAUAAUUUUCAAAUUUACACAUUUAAUUUCUUAGGUCAUUUAGUAGCACAUAUCGAAUGUAUUUCAUCGAGGACACCUACUAUAAUGGUAAAUGGCUUCUCUCACCACGGCCUUUUUGAUUUCUCGAUACCUUUGCUGUCCACAAAAAAGAAAGAAAAAAACUUUAGAAAUAGAGAUUGGGAUGCAAAAUUUAAGAAAAAUUAAGGUAUACUUAAUUAAUGAGAAGAGAAACAUUACAGUACCAUAAGGUAAUGAGAUGAGAAGAAAGUCAAUAGACUACCAGCAUAUCUAUAAAGAAACGUAAGAGUUGGAAUUUAAUUUGUGAAAUUGUAGAAGGAAAAAUCAAAGUAGGAAGAAGAAAGUGAGGUAGCGUACGAGUGAUUCGACGCGUGGACAACCAUCGAGAAUGGCUUGAUAGCCUUUAUUGGUGAUGGUGGAUCCGAAAAAGCCAAGGCGAAGAUGAACCAAAUUGGGCAUCACUUUUGCAAUGGCUACUAAAUAAUCGUUGCCAUUCCCCACUCCUGAAACGGCGUCGUGUUUGAUGAGCGUGAAGGACCUCAAGCUCAAGCACUCAACGCCGAUGGCCUCCACGUCUUCCACCACCAUUUGGUUCAUGAACAAUAUGUGCAACUCUUCUAGCUCUCUGAAUCUCUUCGCCGCCGAGCUCACCCCUUUUCCCGACACAUUCUUGCAGCACGACAGCCGCAGACGUUUCAGCUUACUUGAUCUAAAUUCAAAUUCAAAAUUAAAUCACUACCAACAAUUUCAAUUUCAAUUUCAAUUUUACCUUUGGGAAAUGUAGUGAAGAAGUUCAUCGUUGCCGAAUACUCAAUAUUAAUGUCCAUCAGAUCCCCGCCGCUCCGGUCCACGGCGCGCCGACACAUGCUCCCGAGGCGGCGCGUGUCGUAGCAUGACCCCGAGUUCUUCACGUCCACGACGCGCCACAUGCUCGGCUCACGGCACACGCUCCGCCACGUCUUGCACACCUUCUCCGCCGUCUCCAGCAUCUCCGCCGCUCCCAGCCUGUGCAGGAUAUCCGCCGUCACGUCUAACGGCAGAUCGAUCCACGGCGCGAACGACGGAGGAGCCUCCGCCGCCGGACUUUUCUGCUCCGGCAACUUUCCAAAUCUGAACCUCUUUCUCCGCCAUGGCGGGAAAGAGUGGAAAGUCACGGAAAGAGUGUGAUUUGCGUUGUGGGAUUUGAAUAUAUAUUAUAAUAACCGAGGAGAUUAAUUUUUUCGAAUCACCAAAUUAAAAUUCAAUUUGAAGAACAAGUGAACAACCCUGAUCGAUGUAUGUUCAUUUAAAAAAAUCGUACCUUGUACCAUGUUACGAUCUUCUCAAAUUUGAUCUUGAUCUUGAUUCGAGUUUUUGGAUCUUCCAUCUUGAGUCCUUAAUUUCUCAUAUAAGGGAUGAUGGAGAAAUAUAUGUUAAUAAGUUGUCGAUCUCAUCGUGAAUUUUAUUUGAAAUUUGGGGGAAAGAGCAAUUUAUUACUAUACCUUGAGAUAUGACUACAUUUUGAUUGAGCUUUGAAUCAUAGAUUUCGCAUGUUGUGCAGGCAAUGCAUCAUCCACGAAUUUUGUAUUCUAUCUCUGUUAUGUGUUCUUCAGAUAUACAGUGUGUGCAAUAUAUACGUGUUAUGCUAUAUCACAUAUACGUGUCAUGUUAUCUAUAUAUUACAAAAAAUAGUCUAUUUUUACCAUUUUUGAAUACCUAUAAAGAUUAGUCUCUUUGAAAUAAAUGAGGAGGGCGAUGCUUAACGAUGCUCUUUGUUUUGGUGGUUGGGCUUCGUCCCACAUACUAGUUCAGCCCAAAAUCAGCACAAAGAAUUGCAUUUGUUGAUAAUAUCAUUCUCCUUUAUCCUUCCUAACCUCACUUGAUUCAUUGUGUAAAUGCUAAUAAUCACUUGCGAUCUAGUGUUUUUAUUUUUUGGGUUCUAUCACUUUUUAUUUUUAUUCAUUUUUGUUUCUUUCUUCCGUUUCAAUAUAUUGUGUUUUGGUGUAAUUCGUACUUGUUAGUUACACUAUGAUAUAUUGUCUUUUAGCAUUUAAUUUUAUUUUUUACUAGUUAAUAAAGUUGAAGCAAAUAACGAGAAAAAAUCAGUUAGUUAAGCUCACUCACUCAUUUUCGAACUCUUUUCAGUUAGUCCUUAAUUAGUUACGGAUUAUUCGGGCUAAAAAAUCAGUUAGUCCUAUCGAACUCUUUUCAGGCCAAUCCUACGGAUUGUGGUGUUCUUAGUUACGGGUUAUUCGGGCUAAAAAAAUUUCACUCAUAAUUUUAUUGAAGAUUCGUGUAGUGGUUUGGAAUUCUGUUGGAUUUUUUUAGACUUUAAAAAAUUUAUGAAUUUUCGUGGAUUUAGGAAAUCUAUAGACUCUAUGCAUAGUUUUGCUGACUUUUUUUUAUUGACUUUCAUGAAUUUUCAUCGACUUGAUAGGAAUUAGAAAGGCAGCAACCCAGCGCCUCCUGGAGCCCUGCUACCACUAGAAAACGCUCAUAAACGUGAAAGGAGGUCUAAAUGGAUCAUGCACGCAGUCUAGAGAAGAUGAGAGAUGAGGGAAGAGAUGUCAAAAUCAAAAAAUCAUACUUCGCUUUAGGUAAAUUAAAAAAAUAAAACAUUACAUAUGCCAGCAACGUGUGACAAACUUGGUGGAAAAAAAAACGGUGAAUUAUAAAAAUAAAAAAGUGAUAAAAUAAACAAAACAAACUAAAAGAGCAUGUAAAAAAAGCAACAAAAUCAUAAAAUUCUUAAUUAAAAGCAUGGGAAAAAUCAUAAAAUUGUUAGUUAAAAAAAGGAAACAAUAAGCGCUUAAGGAAACAAAUAAAUAAGUGAUUAUUGUUAGUUAAAAGGAUUGAAAAAAAAACGAUAUAAAAUUGUUUAGUUAAAAGAUCGCGUACCUUUGUUCAUAUUUUAAAAGAACCCACGUAAAUCUCAUGUGAUGAGGUGAGAUUUCUCUCUUUGUAUUUUUUAAGGAGAAUCCAACAAAAUCCAUAAAAUUUUAAAAUCCACAAACUUUUGAAUACCUAAGAAUUUUUUAAGACUUUUUAAAAGAAACAAUAGGGCCGAAUGGCCCUAUUCAACAUACAAGAUCAAAUUUUGUCCACCAUUUGAAAAAACAUAAAUUUUGGCCAUUUUUUGUAUGUCAUGACUAUUCUACCCUUCUCUCUCUCCUCUCUCUUUCUCAUCUCCCUCUCUCUCCUCCAGCGGCUCCUCUCUCUUUCUCAUCUCCCUCUCUCUCUCUCUCUCUCUCUCUCUCUCCAGCGGCUGCGCGGCAGCGGCGCCGAGCUUGGAGAAUUCGUCGGAGCUCUCGCGGCGGUGGUGGAGGAGAUCCUCCCUCUCUCUCUCUCCAGCGGCUGCCGCUCUCUCCUCUCUCUUUCUCAUCUCCCUCUCUCUCUCUCCAGCGCGCCGCCUGGGCAGAAUUCGUCGGAGUAGAGGAUGAGGCGGCGGCGGCAGAUCUGGUCUGAUGAGGCGGCGGCGGUGGAUCUGAUCUGAUCGUUGCGCCGCCUCCUCCAUCGGCAGAUCUGAUCUCCGCCUCCUUCGAUUUCAGCCAUGGCAGAUCUGAUCUGAUCUGUGUGCUGCACGUAUGGCACUUAUGGCACUAUUAGUGCCAUAAGUGCACACUUCCCCCUAGGGUUUAGAUAUUCCAUUUAGGCUUUAGAUUAUCCAUUUGAGGUUUAGAUGUUUCAUUUAGGGUUUAAAUGAUGUUGUUGUUUCUGUAUUUGUGCUGCACGAAUGGCACUUAUGGCACUAUUAGUGUCAUAAGUGCCCAAAAUGAUUAUUUUACUUGGUUUUAUUUUGGAUUUUCGUUGGCACUUAUGGACACCAAAAUAAAACCAAAGUAAAAUCUUGGCACUUAUGGCACUAAUAGUGCCAUAAGUGCCUAACCCGACCCGACACGCGACCCGCGUGCCUGAUCUUACCCGGUCCGCCUCAUUAAGGGUAAAAACGUCCAAAUCAAUAAAAAUUGUCAAAAUUUGUGUUUUUUCAAUGUGUGGCCACAAAUUGUGUUUUAUGCUUCAUUUUGGCUACUUCAAAAUUUUACUCUUUUUAAAAUCCAUAUUGAAUACCUCUAGAUUUUUAAAGACUUUUAAAAGUCUGGAUUGAAUAUCCCCAGACUUUCAAAGUCCAAAAAAAUCCUACAGACUCUACAAUCAAUACACCCCCCCCCCUCAGUCUAUUUCGACCAACCUACGAGUUUCAGGCUAGAUUGAAAUUCCCAAUCAAGGUAAAUAAUUUUUUUUGAAAUGUUGAUUUUUAAUUAGUAAUAAGUAUUAAUUAUAAUUCAUUGCAUCAGUACUAACUUAUAUUUUAAAAUAAAUAUUUAUUUUAAAACUUUUGAGCACAUAAAUUAAAAAGAAAACGUAAAUACAUGGAGACCGGAACCACCUUAAUACCUUAUACUAGAACAAACAAUACAAUGUUUGCCAAAAAAAAGAACCCAAAAACGAGAUCUUUAAAUUCACUGCUCUCAAAUACAAAUCAACUUCAGGUUCCAAUCACAAAAACGAGUUAAGCACAUACCACCUUCUCGAUUCCGUCGUGAAAUUAAUUCCUGGUAUUGCACAGCAAAACUUGAGUCCAGUUUUUCGUCGGCGAGAAUAGCAGCGGCUGGGCAGAGAAAAUUCGAAGUCAAUUUGAAUUACCUUUGAAUUCGUAGAGAAAAAGGUAAUUUGAGGACAAAUAUCUGAACUCAAGUACGAACAAAACGGGUGGUUUGCGUAUCAGAUUUGAAUUUGAGGGCAAAAAUGAGAUUUGGGUUCAAGAAAAUUCGGGUGGUUUGCGUAUCAGAGGGGGGGUGCCGUAUCUGUAAACGGGAUUAAUCUCGCCAAAGAAUCAUGGGCCGACUGUGUUACGCUCGACGACACCAAACGCUAGUGCAAAGUUGUAUUAAUAUGCUAAUACAACAAGAAACAGGGCAGCAAACAUGCCCUUAUAGUAAGUAUCACACGGAUUUAACUUUUUACUUAUUAUAUUUUGAGAAUAACAUUUUAUUCUUCUAUAAAACAUAGAUAAAAUCAUUCAACCUAAUGAAUAUAAAAUGGUCAUUUUAUUAUUGUAUAUAUUAUUAUAAAAUACACCAUUUUAUUAUAUGGCUCCUGGUAUUAAUUAUACUAAAUAUAAUAAAUAUACUUUUUUAAGAAUUAAAAUGAAAAAGGGGAAAUGAAAUAUAAAUACAACUGCAACUAUUUUUCAUCUAUAGUAACUAAACAUGUACAAUCUCAUUACUAAGAAUAUAGCUUUUUACUGGGAUUGUUAUACGAUAUAAAUAUCUUAUAGUAAUUCUUGUAUAUAAUGAAAUAUUCAGAUAAUAAGUAUACAUAUUAUGAGACAAACAUUAUACAUAUUAAAAUUAGGGUAAAUAUCAUGAAAACCCCUGAACUAUACUCACUUUAUCAAAAAUACCCUGAAACUUUUGAAAUGUUUUCUAAACCCUCAAACUAUCAGGUUUUUAUCAAACAUAUCAUGCAUCUAUUUUUCAGUUACCAGAAACGUGAUGUGGCUCGCCGGAUGCCACAAUGUAAUUUAUAUUCUAUUUUUUUUAAAUGACAUGGAAAAAAUAACUUCGUUUCGUACCAUAUUCUACCGUGUUUAUCCAUAAUUCUAAGUUAUUAGCAUGAAUUUCAAACACAAUAGAAGUUAAUUUUAAUUUCAGAGUGAAUUUUUUAAAAAUAUGGUACGAAACGACAUCGUUUUUGCCAUUGCAUNAAUUUGAACUUUAGGCACGAAGAAAAAUCUUGAUCAGUUGAAUGUCAAGUUCAUGAAGGAACCACACUAUAUAUUUUUAGGUGAAAAAUUAUAUUUACGUUUGGGAAAGGGUCGUUACAAGCACAAAAUAUCUACGUGUUUAUCCAUAAUUCUAAGUUAUUAGCAUGAAUUUCAAACACAAUAGAGUAAUUUUGAAUUUCAGAGUGAAUUUUUUUAAAAUAUAUGGUACGAAACGACAUCGUUUUUGCCAUUGCAUUUAAAAAAAAUAGAAUAUAAAUUACAUUGUGGCAUCUGGCGAACCACAUCACGUAUUUGGUUAUCGAAAAAUAGAUGCGUGAUAUAUUUGAUAAAAAUCUGAUAGUUUGAGGGUUUAGAGAACAUUUUGAAAGUUUCAGGGUAUUUUUGAUAAAGCAAGUAUACUUCAGGGGUUUUCAUGAUAUUUACCCUUAAAAUUAUACUCCCUCUGUCCCAUGAAAUUAGUCCCUUAUUCUAUUUUGGAUAGUCCACUUUUCUAAUUAAUACUAUAUAAAAAAAUAUUAUUUUACUAAAUUAACCUUAUUUAAUAUUUCACUUAAAUGUGAAAAUGAUGUGUGAAAAUAAUAAAUAAGGGUAUAAAAAGUAAAAAACAUAAAAAUUAAAUGAAUUUUCUUAAUAUGUGUGAAAAGUUGGACGGACUAAAAUGGUGGGACGGAGGGAGUACAAAAUAUAUUGAUAUGAAUAGAAAUAAAAAAUAUUUUUAAAAUAUAAACAAUAAUAUAAACAUAAAUUAUGAGUAUUUUAUGUUUUUAUUUUCUUUUAAAUGAACUAUUUUGAUAUUGGGUGAAUGCUAUUUGUAUUUAACAAUCCUACUCAUCAUUAAAUGGUACUCCCUCUCCAUCCACGAUAAAUGUUGUAUUUUUGCUAUUUUUGUUCAUCGACAAUAAAUGUGAUCUUUUCAUUUUAAGAGAUACUUACUCCGUCCAUAAAAAAAUUUCCUAGGAGGGAGUAGCACUAGUUUUAAGAAAAAAGUUGUUGAACGUAUUAAAAGUGGAGAAAAGAUUGUUGAGUGUAUUGUAAAUAAUGAAAGAAUAUUUUAAUUAAUAUUGGGAGUGGUGAAAAGGUGAAAAGUAAUGGUAAUGAGAUAUUUAUAAUUGGUGGGGUAUAGUCCGAAAAUAGGGGGAAAGGUCUUUUGUAGACGUCCCAAAAAUGAAAAAUAUGAAGUUCUUUUGUGAACGAAGGGAGUAUAUAUAUAUUUAUACUUUACCUCAUUCACACACAAUAUUUAUAAAAAAUCUUAUCUCACAAUCCAUUUAUCUAUAUAAUAUAUAAAAGAGGAGUUUUUUUCCUCCAUUAUUUCCCUCUAUUUUUUUUUUCUCUCUUCUUCCACCAAAUUUUUCAGUAUUUUCUCUUCUUUUUUAUGAUUUUAAUUAUUUUCUAAACAUCACAAAAUUUUAUUUAUGAAAAAAAAAUAUUCAAUAUGCAUCUUAAAUUUAAUUUUCUGACAAGUUUUUUAAUAUGGUGAAAACAAACAAAUCAUCAAAAAUGAAUUUAAAACGAAUAAGUUAUGAAAAUUUUAAGAUAUUUUAUUUUCUCUCUCUUCGCUAAAAUUUUAUAAUUUUUUUUAUUUAUAUUAGUCCAUGAGAAUAUUUAUUCAUUUAAUAUGCCGUGUAAUACUUUAUAAUAAUAAUGUGUAAUGUUAAUUUUUAUUAUCAAAAAAUUUGAGAUUAUUUAAUAACUAUGAUUAUCAUUAGAUAUUAUACAAAGUUAAAAUUUGUAAUUGAUGAGGUUUAUCUUUAAUUUAUUUUUAAAAUAUAUUUUGUAUUUAAUUAUAAUUUAUCUAAUAUUUAUAUAUUUUUAUUUAAAACAUGUGGUUAAUUUCGAUGUUCGUCGUGCAUCGCACGAAUGGUCAUACUAGUUAAUUAACUAACAAAUCAAUUCAGUAAAGUCUUUUCUUGACUUUAUACACAUGUGUGAUAUUUUCUUAAAACCUGUGACCUUCCAUCCACAAAACACUUAUCGUGGACUAUGAUGCACGGAUUCUUCAAAAAUUAGCAUGUACGGCGAAUCGGAUUCUUUUAGGGUGCGAUUCUCUCGGAUUCUCGUCGGAUUCGCACCCGAUUCGCCACGUAGCGUAUCUUUUAAAAUAAUUUAUAAAAAUAAACCGGAUUCGCAAAUUCCAUAGGUGAAAUUCACGUAUCUCAUGCACGAAAGGCCUACACAAGAUUGAUUUUGAUAAUUUUAUUGGACUAAUAAUAUUUGAAUCGUUAUAUUGUUGCCCAAUUAACUUAUAUAAUUGAAAAUGCUUAACUUUUUGGUAAAAUAAAAUGUAAAUUACAUAUAAUUAAUUUAAGAAAAUUUAAAUUGUAUAUAUUUUAUAAGCAUUAUAUAUAAUAAAAUUUUAAUAAUUAGAUGUAUCCUUGACGAAUCGCACCCUAUAAUUUUUUAGAAACUCGUAUCCCCGUACUCGUAUCGUAUCGCCCCCGCAUCCGCACCCCCGCACCUAUGCAACAUAGAUCGUGGAUGAAGAGGGUAGUAUAAUGUAGUUUCUAUAAACAAUUUUUUUGUACUUAUCGAGGAAGUAUACGUAUGAAUUCGAUGUGUAUAUGUAUGAAUUGCAAAAAAUAAUGUUUUUGCUACUUAUGAGAUUCAAACUCAGGACCGUAAAUUCAAUCGACAAAGUGAUGAAUCAACCGUAAAUCUUGAUGAUAUAAGGACUGAAAAUAAUUCAUAUUUUAUAUUUUAAAAUGUAUUUUUAUUUUAACACAUCCCUAUAUAUAUAUAUAGGGAAAAGUUCCCUUGAGAAAGCUAUAUAUUGUUAAAAUUGAGAAUAAAUUUGGUCCAUUAGAUUUUUAUCUAUCAACGAACAUAAUUAAAUCUAUUGAGAUAAGCCGUUUUAUAGAUGUAAGGGCAUAAGUGUAUUUCCUUAUAGUAAUUCGUAACGUAUGAGAUCCCUCAGUUUCCGGUAAGUGUUUGACUUUUUUAUGUGUACUUUUAAAAUUGUUUGAAGAAUACCCUAUAUUAACAAAUUAGAUUGUAUUAUAUUCAUUCUUAACGUUUUCAAGGCCACAUGUUUUUCCAUAUCGCAUAUUAGUGUGUUUGGCUUAGGGGAUAAAGCUUAGUGCAUGUUUUAGUUUACCCAUUAGUUAACCCAAAAUAUUUUUUAGUUGUUAAAAUAUUAAAAGACUGCAUUUCAUAUAUAUUAGGGUUAUUUAUAUAAAAUCUGUGUAAAUUAAAUAAUAAUAUCUCAAUAACCAUCCACUCCCAUUAUUAAAUACAGAAUGAAAUUUUGAAUAAAUAAAAUACAAAAUUAGAUUUUUUUUGGCAUUUAUUUUAAUAACAGUAUUUUAACAAAUUAAAUAGAAUAUUGUGCUCAUCAUUAUAUUCAUGUGUUCAAACAAUUUUUGGAUACGUUCAUUAAUCAAAUUUUCCCAUUUUAUCGACAUAUACAUUAAUAAAUCUUCUAUAUUCAAUGAUAGAUAUGGGAUAAAUAUCAUUUUAAACCCCAAACUAUUUUCGCACUAUCAAUUAUAUCCCUUCUAUAAUCAAUGAUAGAUAUGGGGUAAAUAUCAUUUUAAACCCCAAACUAUUUUCGCACUAUCAAUUAUAUCCCGAACUAUCGAAAAUAAUUUUUUAAAUCUUGAACUAUUAAUUUUAUAUCAAUUAUAUCAUUGAGAAAAUAAAUAUUUGAUGCUGUCUAAAUUUGAUUUAAAAAUCGGAUACUGGCAUAUCAUCAUCAGCAGCAGCAUCUCAACAAUUAGACAAUGUAACUACAUUCAAUUCAACUCUAGAAAGAAAUUAUCUCAACAAUUAGGCAAUAUAACUACAUUCAAUUCAACUAAAAAAAGAAACCUACAAUUAACCAACUACAAAGAUGAACGGCUGAUCAAAGUUACAAUACAUAAGGAAUUGCUGCAAACAUCAUCCAUUUUGCAAAUCCAACAUUUUUACACGAUUGAAAAGUAGGACAUUGUAUCAGGGUACGAUAAACUAGACGACGCUACAGCAGAUGAAAACCAAUGAAAGCUCAAGAACCUUAGUAUGUCCUCACUUACCAAGUGUCGUGGUAAUCGAAAUAUUCGCCCGAACAAUCACUGGCUCCAGAGAAUUCAAGAUAGUCAUCGUAAUCAGACACUAAAUCCAUGUCAGAGAAGCCAGUUAUAUAGUCAUCAUCUGAUGUUUCAUAAUCAUAUAUAUCAGCAUCAAAAGGGUAAUCAUCAGUUGAGUCAUGGGGGCGCCUCAAGUCUCUAAUCCUCUGCGUGCACAAUCUGCCUAUGUUCCCACCGAAGUGGAUGUUGAAGCACUGCCUCAGAUCAAGCAAUUCAAGAUGAGGACAGCCGUCAAGAAUGGCCUGCAAGCCUUCAUUUGUCAUUUUGUUUCCAAAGAGUUGGAGAUGGCGUAGUUGAGGCAUGUUUUCUGCAAUUGCUCGGGCAUCCAUAUCACACACGAGAUACUCCUGCUUGUACCAGCGGUUGUUUGAUGUAAAUGACUUCAAGUGCGGGCAUAAUCGGCCAAUGGCUUCAAUAGCUUGUGCAUCGAUAGAAGUGUAGUACAGAUGCAGCUCCUCCAGCAGAGGGAAUUUUUUAACUGCUUCGAUCAGACCAUCACCUGUUAUGCCAUAGGAAAAUACAAGUUGAAGACGUCUGAGCUGACUAGAUCUGUAGAAAUGGGAGAAAACCAAACUCAGAUAGAAGAUAACUAAAAGAUCUCAAUAUAUGCAUCAAAUAUACAAAUGCACAUGAUGCAGAAUAUUUCCAGCAGAUGCCACAGCAAAACUAACAAUAAUCCAAGUAAAGAUUCAUUCAAUUAGUCAAUAUGUAGCUCGGAAAAAUGAGAAAUAGAGACUUUGUGUUCCCAGCAUCAUUCCCAUCUUCAUGAAACGAAACAUAAAUUGAAUUCCAUUCAUGACUGCGAAAUUAAACAUUAUUCCUUGAUUCUAAAUCAUCCUUCAAUUCCCUCAUAAAUCUGCAAUCAUGCAUGGCUCUUUUACAGCUGAGAAACAAAAUAAUCUGAAAUUCUCACAAAAAUCUCGAUAUUUGCCUCAUAAUCUGCAAACAUGGAUGACUCUUUUCAGAAAAAAAAAAAAAAAAAAAUAACAUCAUCUGAAAUUCCCACAAAAAUCUUGAUAUUAUGUCAUCCUUCAUUUUUCUCCAUUACUUUCAGUCUCAAACAAAAUAAUCAUAUGAAAUGACCGUGAAAACCUUGAUACCAGAUCAUCCUAGAUUCCCUCAUAUUUCCAAUCUCAAUCACAGCUCUCAAAAACACAAUCAUCCAGUAUUUCCACAACUACGUCAAAGAAACCAAAUUUACGCCAGAAAAUACCACUUAAAUACAAUAAUAUCACGGCAUUCACACCGUUAACAAACAAAACGAUGAAUGGGUGCAAUUCAGCGAAAACAGAGCUCAAUACACCCUUUUCUCUACGGAAACCAAAGCAGAAUGAAAACUUCCGCAAUAGAUUGAAGCUAAUCUACAGAAAAAAUUAGCACACAAAUAAUCGAUUUUCCAGAUAAAUUGCAGUCAUUUAAGCACAGGAAAAAACAGAAUUACCUCUGAGAAAUGUAGUGCAGUAAUUCAUCGGUACCAAAAUACUCAAUAUUGAUAUCAAUCAAUUGGCCCUGGCUGCGAUCGACUGCGUGGCGGCACAUCUUCUCCAAAUUGUACGGCAUGUCCCAGAGAUCGCCAGUAUUUCGCAUGUCGAUGCACCGCCACAUUGAAGGGUCUCGGCAAACACUCUGCCACGCAGUGCAUACACUCUGUGCAGUCGUCAGUAUCUCGAUCGCCCCCAACUUGUGCAGAAUCGCCGAAGUUAUCUCCCGCGGCAAUUCCAGCCACGGCGGCGCCGCCUCCUUCGGGCUCGACGAGGACGACAUCUGAUCUUCCGUUUUGGGGGAUUUAACGUGUUUGAUUUCGGGGGAAGUUUUGAAUUUGGGAUUUGGAAAGGCGAGAUUUUUAGGGUUUGGAGAUUGAGUGGAUUUUGAAGGGUGCAAAAUGCUUCUGGAGUAAACGUUAGCUGAUAAAUGAAUCGCACAAGUUCUUUUUUUUCCUUUUUCUUGAACAAGUCAAUCUUUUGUUUUUUCAUGUCCUUUAUUUUUUUUUCCCUUUUAGCACAUUUUCUUAUUUUAAUAUUUUUUAUUUUUUCAUAAUACUGUAUUGUGAAUAUUCUUCUUUAUUUUUUAUUUCUUUGACUCAAAUCUAUAUAUAUAAAGAGAAGUAAAUAUAAAUAAAUUCAUUUAGAAGGGUAUAAUUGGAAUUGGAAAAAAUGAAUAACUAAAAAUGAAAUUCAGUAUAUAUUGACUAAACAUUAAAAAAACCAACAACUGCCGUGUAACAAUACAAAACUGUCAAAUUUGCAUUUAACAAAGUCCUUUCAUUAUUUAAACAAUUUUUUUUUCUUUUCUUAUUUUGUAGAUAGAAGUGAUAGAACACAAUUUUCCAAAUUCAAGUAAUUAUAUGUAAGAUCAAAUAUGUAAUUAAUCUACAUCUUGAAUUAAAGAUCAUAAAAUGACCUUUAAUUAGAUGUACAAUGUGUAAAAAAUAAAUUUAAAAUGAACAAGUUAUGAUAAUUUAAAGUUGUAAUACAUACAAUAACUUAUAUUUGUAAACAAUUAUAUUUUCCUUCAAAAGUUAGUGAUCUUAGAAACCCUAUUUCAUUUCUUAAAAUUAUAAAAUUAUGUAUUUUUAUUUAUUUUAUAUCAAAAAAUUACUAAUAGCAUAUUAUGUUAUUAUCAUAAAAUUAUAUAUAAUAAUAUAUUUUAAGGAACACUAAUUCAAUAAUCUCAUUUAAUUAAUUGAAUAUUAAAUUAUAUUAAAAUUAUAAAUUACAAUUAUGUGUACAUGAAUUUUCUCAAAUUUUCAUCUAAUUAAUUGAUUAUUAAUUAAUUCUUUAAACUAUAUAUUAAAAAAUGUACGUAUGUGUAUUAAAUUUUUGUUGAAUUCAUUAAUCAUUUAUUUAAAAUAAAUAAUACUAAAAUAAUUAUAAAUUAAAAUCUAGCAACAAAUAAAUUAUGUGGAGUUAACUUAAAUUUUCUACAAAUAUAGAAAGUUAAUGAAAUUAAAAGUCAAAUAGAGACAAUUAUACAUAAGUUACAACAUAAUAUUUUAAAAACUAUUGCAAAAUAAGUGUAAGUUCGUGAUUUAUUUUACAAUUAACCAUUCGAAUGCACCAUUGAUUUGUCUAGAAUUACUUUUGUUAAAUAAAAUAUUUUUAUUUUCUGGAGUAUGUUUUUUUAUAUUAGAACGAUUAUCUUGAUGGGUAUUAAAAUAAGUUUUCAUAUAAUUGAUAAUUGAUACUUUCAAAACUAUCUACAUUUAUCUCUCUAAAUAUUUAUUUAUAUAUGUUUGUAUUUUAUUGUUUGUUGUUAUUUUAAAUCUAUAAAUAGUAAAUUUUAAUUUUAAUAUUAUUAUAUUAAAUUAAUAAUUAUAAAGUGUUUCAUAUAUAUUGUUUUAGGUAUCGUGAUAAUUACAAUGCUAUUUUUUUUUAUAAAAGCAAAUGAUGUUUGGUAUAAAAUAAAUCAUCCCGUAUAAAUGAUACUUUUACCGCAUACAAAUGACAUUUUAACAACAACAAAAAUAAUUUUCUUACUGGUAAAUGAUAUAUUAUAAAUAAUAAUUUUAAUGCAUACAAAUAAUAUUUUUAAUAAAAAAAUUGAUACUUUAUCAGAUUGACCAGAGCAAAAGGGCAAAGAGGGUGGAAGGCAAGGGGGAGGGCUAGUAGGCUGGGCCCAAUAUGGGCGUCGAGAUGCACAAAAAAUUUGUUAAGCUUAAUAUAUGCAAUGUAUGUAUAUUUCUAUAAAAUUUAAUAUUUUAUUAUUACUUAAUAAAAGUAAUAGAUUUUAAUAUUUUUAUAUUUAUUAAUAAAAUAUUAUAUUUAGAACACAUGCAAUAUUCCUCGUGCAUCGCAUGUGAGGCGUACUAGUGUAUAUAUAUAUAUAUAUAUAUAUAUAUAUAUUAUAAAUUANGUAGUAUAUAUAUAUAUAUAUAUAUAUAUAUAUAAUUGUAAUUUUAUAAAAAAUACUUUUCACAACUAAAAAUUACAUAAUUAUAUUUAAUAAUUCAAAUUCAAAUAUAUAUAGUUAAAUACAAAAAUAUUCUAGAUAAAAAAAUAGUAAAUUAAAAUUUAUAAUGUGGCGUUAUAAAAUUACUAUAUGAAUAAAUCAUUGUAGAGACAAAUCAAUCAAAGAAGUAGAUUAAUUUUAAAUAUAUUUUUUUUAAACUAAUAGUAUUAGAUAAAGAAAUUUAAAAGCUGCACUACAUGAGAUUCGAACCCAAGACCGUUAGCCUUAGGCAUUAAGGUCUUAUCAUUUGGCCAACACACGCACACAUGAAUUUUAACUUUUUAUGCGGGCAUAGUUGUACUCCCUCCGUCCACAAAAAGUGUGUGGUGGAGUGGAGAGCACAAGUUUUAAUGAAAAAGUAGAAAUGUGUGAUUUUAGUGUUAAAGGAUAGUAUUGGGCCCACCAAAUUAUAAAAGUAAAUGGUGAGUAUUUUGUAAAUAUUGAGUGUAAAUAGGGUUUAAAGUAUAAAGGUGAUUUCUAAAAAAAGAAAACACGCAAUCUUUGCACACGGGUGAAAAUAGUAAUAAACACAUAAUCUUUGUGGACGGAUGGAGUAUAAGUUAAUUUUCUUGAUACUGACAUAACCAUAAUACAAACAUCUAUAUCUUGUUGUAAAUAUUGUAUAAAUUUAUAUUUACAUAAUAAUUAUAGGGAGCUUUGCUUUUUUACCCAACUUUUAAAAACUAUAUUUAAGAAAGGACAAAUAGCGUCAAAAUCUCUAUAGUUUUGCCCGUUUCGCAUUUUUUCCAUGACUUAAAAAUUUCUCGUUAAAAGCCAUGACUAUUGCUCCGAUUCUUGUUUUUCCCUUAGUGACGUUUUUCGGCCAUUAAUUAGAUGACAUGUCACCAACGUGACACACUUAUGCUGAGUAGGUUAAUUAGAAGCUAAACGACGUCGUUUUGAGUCUAACCUAAUAGCGUCAAAAUCCUGAAGUUUGGCGCAAUUCUUGUUUUUCCCUUGACCUUAAAAUCUCGCGUGAAGGAACUACGGAGCAACGCCAACAUAUUCUCCGACGUCGGAAACUCUACAACAAUUUAGAGCAGCGAUCAAUACUAUCUUAUACUUCUUCCAUACUGUAUAAAAACCCUAGUAUAGAGACAUAAAGAGAGAGAGAGAGAGAGAGAGACAGACAGACUAGUGAUGGGUCCAUUGUCCUCAACACGAAUUGAAAACCACAAUUCCAUGGCCAUGGCCACAUACUACUCGAGCGUUGGGGUGACAGUUUUCGCUCGAUGACGAUAGGGAAGACAUGACAAUAUUUCGUCUUCAAUGGCUGAUAGUGGUUUGGGGAUUUUUUUUUGGUGAAGAACCCCUAAUUUCAGUUUGAUUUCAUUUAAUUCUCAAAGAAAAUAUAAAACGACAACGUUCUAUAUUAUGAAUUAAACACUGUCGUCCAUUUCGACGGAAAAUUAAGCCUACGUAGAUUUUUGAUGGCUAUGUCAGCAUAAGUUUGGGGGAAGAUCGGUUUUAUGGGAAAAUUAAUAAUCGGGAUUAAGUUCAUGAAUUUUAACGAGAAAUUUUUAGGUCAUGGGAAAAAUGCGAAACGGGCGAAACUAUAGGGAUUUUGACACUAUUUGCCCUUUAAAAAAUACCCACUUUUGUUUUGCUACAUCCCAUAACCUUUGUAAAUUUUUUAAUAUUUCACUAUUGUUGGGAACUUAAUGAAAUAUCCUAGCUCUAGUUUGGAUGAUACCAAAAUCCUUAAGUGUUCUUUGUAAUAGACUAAAACUUUUCGAACUCAAGUGUUGGAGUUCCUUUUCUAGUUUAGCUUGUGUUCUGAAGACUGAAGACUGAAGACCGGAGGAAUGGAGAAUGAAGAACGAAAGACUGAAGACUGAAGAGCUCGACUGAUAUUGCGAAUAAAGGCUGAGUCAAGCACUGAUGUUUGACUGAUCGCGUUUCUCAGCUAAAGGAUCAGUUGCGAACUGAUUCAUUAAUGUAGGCCAUGUGGAAUCAGCGGACUGAUACUAAAGUCAAGUAUCAGUUAACAUUCUUCCUCGUACUGAACCUCCAAAGUUAAAAGGAAGCCACGCACUCCCAGAGUACAGCCGCAUUAAAUGCAAAGAUUUUAAGGAUCUUCCUUUCUCUGCAGAGCAUUCCUUUUUGGUGACUACCUUUUCAGAGAUGUCCUAUCUCCUAGCCGUUCUCACCAAACAAGGAACCUCGAAGAUUGAAGCCUCAGCGAAAUUCAAAAUACACUCCAACAGAUGAAUUCUUGAAGACCAUCUCCGCCAACGGAUCUAUUCAAGACCUCUCCUAUAAAUAGAGCUCGAGGAUCACUUCAAUCUUCAUCGAUUCAAAUGCAUAAGCUGAAACGCUGCCGAAUUCGUUACUCAACAAAUCAAAGCCUUCCAAAGUUUGAAUCGAAGAAUAGAAUCACAAAGUCAAAAUCAGUCCACUACUGAUACAUAUAUUCUCUUAUAACCUUAGGCAUAUAUUGUUUAUCCAAAGUCUAAGUUACUGAUAACAGAGAGACUGUUAUCUGUGAUCUAGUUGGUAGUUUUCGAACCUCAUUUCAAUUGAGCGAAAAGAGUGUUUGAAGUUGUGUGGAGUUCAGACCAGUGUUCUGACUCCAGAGAAAUCUUAAUGCCCAGUGUGUACUAAGUGUGUUUAAGAAAUCCAACCCAGUGUGUUGGUACUGAAACGUGUGAUUUCAGUUCAAGGUUUGUUGUGCACCCGUAAGCACAAGCCCAGAGUACUUGUCAGUGUGAUCAACUGACCGUGGAUGUAGGAAUUGGAUUCUGAACCACGUAAAAAUCCCUUUAUCGUUUAUCGCUUUCAGUCUUUACUUUCUUAUUUGUGCGCAAAGUCUUUAUCAACUGAAACUGAUUAACUGCAAAGUGAAACUAAAUCUUGACAACGUGCUUAAUCACAAAGGCUAUUUCUUAAGUAAAGUUUUCCGCUGCCAGUGUUAUUAGUUUAACUGUUAAAUUUUCGGAUAGUCAGUAAGAUUCAUAAUAUUCCUCUGUUUUACAAACCUGACUGAAGCCUAACACAUAUCAGUUAAAGUCUAGGACUUAACUGAUAACUCUUUACUGAAGAGAGAAUCAGUAUCAGUCACCAACCGAAGUUUUGCUAAACUCUUUGGGGAGGACUUACGUGAGCGCAUGGUGUGAGCGCGCAUGGUGUGAGCGCGGGUCUAGGUCACGACCCGACCCGGAUCCGGCUCCACCUUAAAUAUUAAAAAAAAAAUUAUAACUGAUUUUAAUAUAUUAUAUAAAACUGUUAAAGCAUUGAAUAUCAAGAGAGCUCUUAGCUCAGUUGGUUUAGGCUCCACAGCUUAUGCAAGCUAGACCUGGGUUUAGGGAUGGCAGUGGAUCUUGGACCCGGUCCAGAUCCGUGGAUCCAGAUCCGUUUCUCAAUUUUUCGGACCCGACGGAUCUGGAUCUGGAUCUCAGUUUUGAAAACGGAUCUGGAUCUGGAUCUUGAAAUUUUAGAUCCGGAUCCGGCCCAGAUCCGACCCGUGGAUCCGUUUUAUUUUAUAUAUAUUUUUUAUAUUUUAUAUUUAGUUUACUAAUAAUAUUAACUAAAUUAAAAUAAUAAAUAAAUUAUAUUUAAAAGAAUAAAACUAAAAGUAAUUAGAUAAAAGUAUUUUGUGUUAUAUUUUUCAUGAUGGAAAUUAGAUGUUUUUGGUUUUGUGAAAUUUUUUUGAUUUAAUUUAAAAAUAGUAGAUCCAUGGAUCUGGACCCGUGGACCCGCGGAUCUGGCGGAUCUGGAUCUGGAUCCAAAAUUUUUAGAUCCACGGAUCUGGAUCUGGAUCUAGUAUAUGAAAACGGAUCUGGAUCUGGUAUUGGUCAGACCCGGUCCAGAUCCGGCCUGUUGCCAUCCCUACCUGGGUUCGAAACCCACUAGGAGCGAAAUUUUGGGCUUCAUUUCAUUUAUUUUGUUAUUUCUUUUAAUACUUGUAGUUUCUUUCUUUUAAGUAUAUAGUUUCAUUUAUUUUGUUAUUUCUUUUAAUACUUGUAGUUUCUUUCUUUUAAGUAUAUAGUUUCUUUUUUUUGUAGUUUCAAAAUAAUACUUGUAGUUUCUUUCUUUUAAGUAUGUAGUUUCUUUCUUUUAAGUAUGUAAUUUCUUUAUUAAAAUAAUACUUGUAGUUUUUUUUUGUAGUUUAUUAAAGUAAUACUUGUAGUUUUUGUUUUUUUUUUGUAGUUUCUUUCUUUUAAAUAUAGUUUUUUUUUGUAGUUUUUUUCUUUUAAAUAUGUAAUUUUUUUAUUAAAAUAAUACUUGUAGUUUCUUUCUUUUAAGUAUGUAGUUUCUUUAUUUUAAAUAUGUAAUUUCUUUAUUAAAAUAAUACUUGUAGUUUCUUUCUUUUAAGUAUGUAGUUUUUUUUUGUAGUUUCUUUCUUUUAAGUAUGUAGUUUCUUUCUUUUAAGUAUGCAAUUUCUUUAUUAAAAUAAUACUUGUAGUUUCUUUCUUUUAAUACUUGUAGUUUCUUUCUUUUAAGUAUGUAGUUUCUUUCUUUCUUUUAUAGUUUCUUUCUUUUAUACUUGCAGUUUUUUUUUUCUUUUUUCUAUAGUUUAUUUCUUUUAAUACUUUUAGUUUCUUUUAAGUAUGUAGUUUCUUUUUUCUUUUCGUUUCAAAUUUUUAAUUAUUUUUUUAUUUUAGUUUGAAAAAUAGUAUCAUUUGUUCUAUAUUAAAGGUUUCAUUUAGUAAGAAAAAUAGUAUCAUUUGUUCUAUAUUUAAAGGUUUCAUUUAGUAAGAAAAAUAGUAUCAUUUGUUCUAUAUUUAAAGGUUUCAUUUAGUAAGAAAAGUAGUAUCACUAAUAAAUGAUAUUAAAAGUUUCGCUUAAUGAUAUUAAAAGUUUCGCUCUUUUCUUUGUUCAAUAUUAAAGGUUUCAUUUAGUUUGAAAAAAUAGUAUCAUUUGUUCUAUAUUAAAGGUUUCAUUUAGUAAGAAAAAAUCAUUUGUUCUUUUUUCUAUAUUAAAGUUUCAUUUAGUAAGAAAAUAGUAUCAUUUGUUCUACAAUAUUUCAAAUGACACUUACAUGUAAAUGACACUAUACUAAACCCUAAACACUAAACCCUAAACAUUAUGACACUAUCAAAUGACACUAUGACAGUUCAAAUGACACUACAAGAUUUCAAAUGACACUACGAGAUUUCAAAUGAAACUUCAAUAAUUAAAAUGACACUAUAAGAUUUCAAAUGUUACUAUGACAUUUCAAAGACACUUCGAAUGACGCUAUGACAUUUCAAAUGACACUAUGACAUUUCAAAUGACAUUAUAACAAUUCAAAAUGACACUAUAACAUUUCAAAUGACACUACAAGAUUUAAAAAUAACACUAUGACAUUCAAAUGACACUACAAGAUUUUAAAUGACACUAUGACAUUUCGAAUGACACUACAAGAUUUCAAAGACACUACAAGAUUUCAAAUGACACUAUGCCAUUUCAAAUGACACUUCAACAUUUAAAUGACACUAGAAGAUUUCAAAAUGAUACUACAAGAUUUUAAAUGACACUAUGCCAUUUCAAAUGACACUUCAACAAUUCAAAUGACACUACAAGAUUUCAAAUGACACUAUGACAUUUCAAAUGAAACUUCAAAAAUUGAAUGACACUACAAGAUUUCAAAUAACACUAUGACAUUUCAAAGGACACUACAAGAUUUCAAAUGACACUACAAGAUUUCAAAUGACAUUAUUCCAUUUCAAUGAAACUUCAACAAUUGAAAUGACACUACAAGAUUUCAAAUGACACUAUAACAUUUCAAAUGACACUACAAGAUUUCAAAUGACACUAUGAGAUUUCAACUGACACUAUAACAAUUCAAAUAGACACUAUAACAUUUGAAAUGUAUAGUGUCAUUCGAAAUGUUAUAGUGUCAAUUUUAAGAUUUCANGACACUAUAACAUUUUGAAAUGUUAUAGUGUCAUUCGAAAUUUAUAGUGUCAAUUUUAAGAUUUUAUGUAGUCCAUUUUAAAUUUUCAAGUGUGCUUUUUGAAAUGUUAUAGUGUCAUUUUGAAAUGUUAUAGUGUCAUUUUAAAAUGUUAUAGUGUCAUUCGAAAUGUUCAAUAGUGUCAUUGCAAAUCUUAUAGUGUCAUUCGAAAUGUUAUAGUGUCAUUUGAAAUGUUCAAAGUGUCAUUUGUUGAAACUAUUAAAGUGUCAUUUUGAAAUGUUAUAGUGUCAUUUUUAAGAUUUCAUGUAGUGUCAUUCGAAAUCUUAAAGUGUCAUUUUGAAAUGUUAUAGUGUCAUUCGAAAUGUUCAAAAGUGUAAUUUCAAAUGUUAUAGUAUCAUUCGAAAUGUUAUAGUGUCAUUUUAAAAUGUUAUAUAGUGUCAUUCGAAAUGUUCAAAAGUGUCAUUGCAAAUCUUAUAGUGUCAUUCGAAAUGUUAAAGUGUCAUUCUAAAUCUUAAAGUGUCUUUUGAAAUCUUGUAGUGUCAUUCGAAAUGUCUAAGUGUCAUUCAAAAUCUUAAAGUGUCUUUUGAAAUGUUAAAGUGUGUUUUGAAAGCUUGUAGUGUCAUUUAUAUGUCGGAGUAGUGUCAUUUGAAAUAUAGUAGUGUCAUUUAUAUUUUGAAUAGCGUCAAUUAUAGGAAUUAUCAUUUGCAAGGUUAUAGUGUUGAUUCGAUGUAUUAAUAGUGUCACUUAACAAGUAACGUUUUCUUGAAGCAGGAAUAUAACUUCUAAGCAAUCAAUGAAACCAUGUACAAGAAGAUAUACUGACAUUCUUCACUUGGAAAUGCAGGCAAAUUGGAGUAUUAUGCAAGUAAGAUCUCAUUGUGCUAGUAGAUAUAUAAAACCUUUUCUUGUAUGUUCUACAUAUAUUUUUCAUCUUUUUGAUUACCUGUUUUCUCCAUUGAACAGUUUACUUGUACCUUGCGGCCUUAGCAAUUGGUAACUUCUCACUACCCUCAGAAUAUAUAAUACAAAAUAUAAUAGUUUCAUUUUAAAUAAAUGAUAGUGUCAUUGUUUUUCUCUCCACCAACUAAGCUAAACCGUGUCAUUUUCUAUUGUUAAAAGUGCAUGUCCAUUAACCGUGUCAUUUUCUAGUGUUAAAAGUGCAUGUCCUCAGAAUAUAUAAUACAAAAUAUAAUUUAUUAGUGUAGAUAGUUUCUUUUACUAAGAAAAAUAAUAUCAUUUUCUAUUAUUAAAAGUGUCAUUUAUCAUUUUAUUCGAAAGUAUCAUUCAUAUGCAUUAAAAGUGUCAUUUGAGUGAUUUAAAAGUGUCAUCAAUAAAUAAACAUUGCUCUCACUUCUAUGAUCCAACAAGCAAGAAAAAACUUGAAACAAACUUCGAAUAUCAUUCAAUUCCAUCAAAGCUAAUCAAAACUUGAAACAAGAAUAGCUAUGUUGCAUCUCUGGUUCUUUUCGACCCUGCCACAUCAUGUUUUUGUUACACUUGUUAAAAUAGCUAUGCUGCAUCUCAGUAGGAAAUUUGAAUUGAAACAAAAACAAGCACACAAGCCAAAGCUACACAACAAUCCACCAAACAACUUCUCUAAGAAAAAUGAAAAUCAGGCAUACGAAACCAAAAUCUGCUACUGUGCCCCCAAAUUCUGGAAUUAGAGAUGCAGUCGAGGGAGAAGGGGAAUUAGGGCUCAAGAAGGAUAAAAAAGGGGUCUUGAAGGAUUAAUGAUGGGUGUCAGGACGGCGGAGAGCCGCGACCGGAGCUGGGCAGUAGAACGACGGCGGUGUCAGGACGGCGGCGGCAGGUGGUUCCCGUCGUUCGACCGCAUGCAAGAAAAAGAAGGAUGCCGCAGCCACGCCUCUUGUAAGUGGUCGUCCGACCGAGAGAGUUGGUGGUAUUGGUGGUGAGAGAGAGAGAGGUGGGCGCUGGUUUACCUGGUAUUUGCUGCUCUGCGGAGGUGGCGCCGAUGCGAGAGGAGGCGGUAAGACGCUGGCUGUUCGGUGAUGGAGGAAGGCAGACGAGACGGCGACGAUUCUGUCCAUGAGUCGUUAGAGAAGAGAAGGAGAAGAUGUCGUUGGGCCCCGGCGGCGGCGGCCGCAGUGCUGCUGUCGUUUGGUUUAGAGAGAGAACCUUCUGAAAUUAGGGGGGGAGAUUUGGGGGGUUUUGAGUGAAGUGGUGGAAGGUAGUGGAGAUGGUGACUGCGGCGGAUUUAAGGAGAUAGAAGAAAAGGGUAGGUUUCCAGGAUUUUUUUUAUAUGAUGGUUCCGGAUCCGGGUUGGAUCGCACCAAGAUCCGCGCGCAUGGGGUGAGCGCUCAAUUUGUGAGGCGCGCAUUUAAGUUUUUGUGAUAAGAAAAAUAUAACUGCGCUUUUUUCCUUUACAAGUUUUCAGUAUUUACACUUUUAAAUUAUAUCUUAAAUGGAAGCUUAGGGUUGAAACUAGCAAAGGCAGAGUAGAAAUAUUGACAUUUUCGGAAAUAUUUAAGUUAUAUAUUGAUUCGACAUAUUCCUACUCUUGACCUAUGAAUAUGAAAUGAAAAGAAAUAGUCACUCAUUUCCACUCUUACACCAACAUGGAAUCCUAUACGAUUUGUGAGCUAUUUUACCCCCUGCCCUGGCCCCACGUGUUAUGUUUUAGGGUUGAUGGAUUAUUUGACCCCAUUUGAACUUCUCCUUAUCAUUUACUCGAUCACAUAACGAUGUGCAUUUAUUUACUAUCUAUAAAUUAUUACUUUUAUAUGUGUGUGAUAUUACAAAAACAAUAGUACAUGUGUGACUAUGCCGGUUGACUUAUUAUCAUGAAUAGAUAAGGGUGUGCAUUCAGUUAUAUGAUUCGAUUUUUGUUAAAAUUAAAUUAAAUCAUACUUUUUCCGUCACAAUCAAGAUGCUACAUAUUUUUUUUUCUGGGCUCCCAACGAAGAUGCUAUAUUUCUAAAUAUGGAAAACAUAAGAUUUUAAUUGCACAAUUAAAUUAAUUAAUCAUCUCUUAUUACUUCUCUCUCCUACAUUAUCACUUUAUUACUUUUUUCUUCCACUUUAUACUUUUAUCUACAAUUUAAAACAUAAUCUACAACUCCUUAAAUUCGUGUCGAAAAGAAAUGUAUCAUCUUAGCUGGAUAAGGGAUAUUUUUUUUCGGUUAAAAAAACAAAACAAAAUCGAACCGAAUUAACCAAAUUAAAUUAAUCAAAAUUUUUAUAAUUAAAAUAAAAUGAACCGAAAAACGAAUUAAUCCAGAAAAAAAAUUGAAAAAAUGAAAAUUCCGAAAAAAUAACUAAUACUCCCUCCGUCCCAAACGAAAUGUCCUCCUUCUUUUGGGCACGCUUAUUAAGGAGGCAUUAUCUACCUAAUCUAGUAGAAUAUUAUAGUACUCCAUCCGUCCCAACUUUUAGUAUCCAACUUUCCUUUUUUGGCCGUCCCACAUUUUGGUAUCCAUUUCUAUUUUUAGUAAAAGUAGGUGGGGCCCUUACUCCACUUUAAUUAUUUUAACUCUCACAUAAAAUGUGGGACCCUUAUUCCACUCACAACACAUCAAUCACUUUAUUAAAAUCCGUGCCGUUCUCAACUGGAUACCAAAAGCCGGGACGAAUGGAGUAUAUUUUAUCAUUAUCCAUCAUUCAUUUUAAGAACAUACAUAUAUACAUAACAACCUAAUAAUUAAAAUUUACAAUUAGGGUUAGAAGAUUAAAAAUUUAGAAGUUAGAUAUUAUAAAAUUCUAAUUAAAUAUGUUAAAAUUUAUAAUAUUUAUAUAUAUGCACUCCAAUGAGACCCCUUAAUUUUCGUGUAACAUGAAGCACGAUCUGGUGCGUUUAUUUUAUCAAUUCUAUGGCUGAUAUUGUAUCUGGAGGGAGAUUUUUUUUCGCAGGCUUCGAAUCCUGGAGGGAGCAGAAUAUUUUAAAUUUUGUUAUUCAUCAGUAUAUACUGCCUUAUUCAUCAGUAUAUAUGUCUUAUUCAUUACCAAUUUUUUAAAUUUAUUUUUCAUCAGUAUAUAUAUUUUGUUCAUUAGUAUUAUAUGUCUUAUUCAUUCUCCUCAUGUUACACGAAAAAUAGGGAGUCUCACUGGAGCGCGCUCCUAUAUAUAUAUANAUCCUGUUGCUGUCGCCGGCGAGCGGCGCCGAGAAGAGAGGGAGAUGCAUGGACUCUAGCAGGCGGCAUCGCUAGGAAAGAAGAGAGAGAUGGAGAACGAGAGAUCGAGGAUGAGAGAAGAGAGUGGAGAAAGGAAACAGUGGUUUUUUUAUAUAUAUAUCGGGUCAAAUGACCCGGUUCUCUUUGUUCGACCCGACCCAAGCCCGCGCGCAUAUUGUGAGCGCACAAUUAUAACGGCGCUCAUAUAAGUUUUUGUGAAACUCUUUUACUGUCAAUGGUUGUGUUGGUUUGUCUUAAGUUUUAAAAUAGCCUAUAGGUGUAUUUCCCCCCCCCCCAUACACCUAUUCCAGAGCUUCCGGGACCUAACAACUAGUAUUGAAAAAUUUUGUUUGUGUCAUACAAAAUACCGUAAUCAUUGACAUAGUGAUUAACAAUGGUUGAAAUCAGCGUACUGUACACUGACAGCUAAAUUGACAGGAGCCAUUUAAUUGAAAUCCUUGUAUAUUUGCGCAAAUUCAACGUGUAGAAUAGACUAAUUUGGCGCAAAAAUAUAAUUAACGCAAAAAUGUAUUUUAAAUAUUGAUUUGCGCAAUUUUCUCGUUCCUCAAUUUGUGCAAAAAUGCAAUUUACACAAAUUCGAGCACUUUUCAGAAUUUUCGCAAAAUUCCAUUAUUUCCGCAAAUUAAUUCUAGUAAUUCCGCAAUAAUUUAACAAUUCACGCAAACUUUGGAAUUCUGAAAAUUAAUAGUUCAAUUUCACGCAAUAGGAAUAAUUUGACUCAAAAUAAUAAUAAAGUUCACGCAAAAACCUUGCAAUUGUACACGCAAAAAAAGUUCCACGCAAUAAUUUCACAAUUCACGCAAAAAAAAAAAAUUAAUUUUACAAUUCACGCAUAAUACUUUCACAAUUCAAGCAAAAAUAUAAAUUUAACAAUGUAAUUGAGGCACCAUUUCAUACACAAUUCAUGCAAAAAUAUAACAAUGAAAACACAAUUUUGCGUUAAUUUUGCAUACACAUUUCACGCAAAAAUAUAAAAUUGAAAUUAGUACAACACAUAUUAAUACAAGUCUGAAAUGUGUGUUGGUGAAUUUACGCAACAAUGUUCAAUUCACGCAAAAAUUGACAAAUUAUACAUAUCACGCAAAAAUGUAAAUUUAAUGUAAAUAAAUUCGGUCAACAUAAAUAAAGCAUAUUCAAACUGACAAAUUCAGAAGCACAAAUAUUUAGGGCACAGAUGCUUGUACCAAAUAUUAAUAAAAAAAUGAAAUAGUUAUGAGAGGUAUUGAAUUUAAAAAGUGGGUAUUGUGUGAAUAUAAUUUGAGAAAGUUAGGUACUUUCAUAUAUUACCACAUAAUUAUAGAUUAAAAAUAUAAGUAAGCACUGUUGAUGUUAUGAGAUUAAAAUAAAAAAUAAAACUGAAAAUGUAUUAUAUGUGUCUAUAUAAGUAUAACUAUGUUAAAAAAAAUUAUCGAUCAAAAAAUAAAUAUAUGACUUUAAGUUAUUUAAAAUAUUUAAAUGAUAAAAUAUGAUAAUUAUAUAUAUAUAUAUAUAUAUAUAUAUAUAUAUAUAUAGUGUGNNNNNNNNNNNNNNNNNNUCCUACUACUAUAUAUAUAUAUAUAUAUAUAUAUAUAUAUAUGUAAUAUAUAUAUAUGUGUUAUCAGUUUAAUAUUAGAACCUCACAAUAAAUUUAAGUAGUCAUUUAUUUACGUUGUCGAAAUGUAUUUGUUGAAGUUUAUUUUGAGCCGAUUCUUGAUUGAAAAAGAUAAUGACUUGAAUUGUAUAUAUACCAAUAGUUGAAAUAAAGUAACUAACUAUCCUUAAUAUUAAUAUGUAUUUAAAUGGAGUGAUUAUGAGAUUUUAUAUAAAAAUAUAAAAAAAGUAUAUUUUUAUUGUAUUUAUAAUUUUUUAUAUAAUAAUUGAGUUAAUAUCUAUUUUAUAUAUAAAAAGAAGGGUAAAUAUCUGUUUCUGACUUAUUGGUUGGGCAUUUUCUCAAAAAUGUCCUACCCUAAAGAUAAUUACAAAAUCAUACCAUCGUUCCAUUUUUUUCCUUGUUUAUGGCCUGCAAAAAUAAUUCGACGAUCGAUAUUUGACAUAACCAAUUGUCACGUUGUUAGUACACGUGUAAUACUAAUAAUAUAAAAAAACAACAUAAAUUCCACAUAGAAAAAACGCAUCUAUACGUAAAGGAAUAGACUUGAACACACAAAAACGUUUUCUCAAGAGAACCCUAUCACUGGCGGAUCUAGCAUGGUGCAUGGGGGUGCAACUGCAUCCCAAAAAAAAAAAAUUAAUAGUAUUAAUAUUCAUAUAUAAAUUAUUUUAUAUUUAAGGUUUGCACCCCAAAUAAAAGUUUUAAUCCUAAAUUCAGUUUUUAAAAUCCUAAAUUCCAUUGGCCCAACUAAAAAGAGAGCCAAUCAUCUCUUUCUUUUUCAUUCUUUUGAUCGAGCCCAUCAGUUAAUCAAUCCUUUACCUCAAUUCUUAAUUAAAUAAAAAAAAUUGAACCUACAUAUUUUGUAUUUGGAAUGCAGAGUUAUUACUAAUUGUAUUUGUAUUUUAGUAAAAAAAAAAACAAAAAAUGUCUAAAAUGUACUGAAGGCCUAAAAAAAAAAUCCCGGGGGCUACCGCCCCCGAACCCCCGUAAAAGUUCAACCCCCUCAAAAAAAUCCUAGAUCCGUCAGUAUUUAUAAGAUUAUUUUUUGCACCCCCAGUUUUUUAAUCUUGGAUCCGCCACUGAACCCUAUUACCAUUCCACCUACUAAGAAUCUCAAUCGUUCUAAAGUAUUCCUCAUUCACCUGUAGAUAUUUAAUGAACACUAGUAACUAACAUUGGCAUAAUGAAACAUUGACAUAUUAUAUGAGUUUGGAGAUGAAAUAUAUAAUCAAUAAAAUAGGGUUGUAGGAGUUGCACUAACAAAACCCUGAAUUACCUCACCAUCAACUAUUAUCUCAAUCAUCCUUGGCAACAUAAUGUUGUUCUUGAAAAAUUUAGCCAGUUUUGAUUCAAUUGCCUGAUAAAUUGCAUGAACAAGAACUUAAUGAAAUCUACUGUAGGGGCAUGUCGAGGCCCGUCGUCAAGACCUCAGGUAAAAUGAUAUUUGUAAUUUAUUGUGCGCUGCAAUCAAAAUCAGUUAAUGGCAAGUAUAAGGUCGAACCCGCAAAGAGUCGGUGUAUCUUGGUACUCCGUAUCACAAAAGUUGAUGGAAUGCACUUUGGUCUAAGUGUCAGGAUUAUGGUCUAGAACAUAAUGUACACUUUGAUUGUAUAUGAAAAACUGAAAUAAAACACAACAAAAUAUCAAUAAUAAACGAAACAUGGUUUGAGCAUAGUCUAGUUAGGUAUGGGUGUAUUUUCGAUCAUCGGUUCAAGGAUAUUCACAGCGCCUUCAUGUCAUUGGUUAUGAGCCGUUUGAUUAGUGGGAUGUGCCCCCAUUGUCACAUUAUCACGAACACAAGCUUAAUCAACCCUUAUCCGCGCCCUUCGUAUUGGGUGAAAGUGGUCUACUUUCAUCCCUCUGCCUUGGUAGAUUCCCUGCAUCAAAACUUGAGUUUGCGGGUAUGCCCAGAACGCAUUACUAAGUAGCAUACUCAAAUGGUCACAGGCAUGCUCAGAGGCAUACUACCACCGCCCGCAUCAGCCACACUUCACGGAAUGGGAGAUCUCCACACUUUUGCCUGCGUACUGUUUGUAACUUGGUUUUGCCCAAUCACAAUUGAUUUUACCAUCUGGGCAAAAUUCACAAUUGAUCUUAAUUCUUAAGCAAUCACAAUUGAUUUUACCAUCUGGAAAAAUUUCACAAUUGACAAAAUUCAAAUCUUAAUUCUUAGAAUUUUGACCAAGAAGAGGUUAGGUUUGUCUUAGCUUACAUUAUCGUUGAUGAGCAUCCAUUUAAGUAUGUCGAAAGAGAGGGAUUUCAAUACUUUGUUUCUAAGGCUUGCCCAAGAUUUAAGAUCCCAUCUAGAUGUACCGUUUCACAUGAUUGCUUUAAGUUGUAUGAGAAUGAAAAGAAUUUGUUUAUGACAAUACUAAAAUCCACCAACCAAAGGGUUUGUCUUACCACAGAUACAUGGACAUCUACUAAGAAAGAGAAUUACAUGUGUUUGACUGAUAAUGAUUGGAAACUGCAUAAAAAGAUUAUUAAUUUUUGUCUAAGUUCUAGUCACAGAGGUAGAGACAUUGGUUGGAAAUUUGAAAAAUGCUUGCAUGAUUGGGGAUUGGAGAGGGUGUUCACUAUUACAGUUGAUAAUGCUUCCUCAAAUGAUGUUACAAUUGGUUAUUUGAAAGAAAUUGUUAGUCAAUAGGAGGAAAAACAUUAGAAACUGUGAUCAUAUGCAUAUGAGAUGUAUUGCUCAUGUAUUUAAUUUAGUGGUGCAAGGUGAUCUUAAAUAGAUUGGAUCUUCUGUGAAAAAAAAUUAGAAAUGUUGUUCGGUUUGUUAGACAUUCUGGUGCUAGAUUGCUUAUGUUCAAGGAAUAUUGUGAGCUGGAAAAAAAAUUUAAGUAAGAGUUUGUUGUGUUUAGAUGUUCCUAUUAGAUGGAACUCGACAUACUUGAUGUUGAAGGCUGCAAUAACAUUUGAGAAAGCAUUUGCUAGAUUUGAUGUGUUAUACCCGACAUAUGGAAUUGAUCUUGUAUGUUAGGAGGGGGUACCUAACAAAGCUGAUUGGGUGAAAGCAAGAAAGAUGCUCAAUUUUUUUGACAUUUUAUCAUGAUGGAAAACGAAUGAAUCUAAAUAUCCCGUUCUCUCCAAAGUGGCUCGUGAUGUUUUGGCAGUACCUGUCUCAACUGUAGCGUCAGAGGCAGCAUUUAGCACUGGAGGAUGAGUACUUGACCCAUUUAGGAGUUUGUUAAGUCCUAAAGUUGUGGAGUUUCUCAUUUGUGGUCAAGAUUGGCUUCACAACUCCUACCCCAAUUGAUGUUGAGGAACUUUAUGAAGAUGUCCAAAAAAUUGAACAAAGUAUAUGACUAUUUAAACUACAUUUUUUUAUAUGUUUUCAAAUUUACGAUUCUCAAUUAAUUUGUAUUAUUGUUAUGUAUAAUUCUAUUUUUUUUAUUAUUUGUGAGUAUGCAAAUUUGAUAGUGCAAGCUCCAACAAAUUAAUCAAUCUCCAUUAAUUGUUGGAACUUGAAAGCUAUUGAAGAUGAUUAGAUGAAUGUUUAUUGAUUUUGAGUUUUGUUAACAUUGAAAGUUUGGACUCUUUUUUUUGUAGUUUGAUGGUAAUUUGUUGUUGAUUUGAUGGAUAUUUAGAAACUCUUUGGUUUGUUGGUUAUGGAUGUUCUUGUAUUUAUUUUGGUGGAUGUGAUGAAUGGAUUUAAUACUUAUGCAAAUCAUAAUUAUUAGGUUGUUAUAUAUACAUCUUUGUUCUUGAAAUGAAUGAUGAAUAAUGAUAAAAUAUAGUAUAAUAUAAUUUUGAGCAGAUUUUUUUUUAUAUAUAAUUUUUUUCGGUUUUCUUAGAAUUUUUGAUUUUUUUCAGUUUUGUUUUUCGAUUUUUUCGAUUUUUUCAGAUUAAUUCGGUUUUUCAGUUCGAUUCGAUUUUAAUUUUAAAAGUUUCGGUUAAUUCGGUUCGGUUUAUUCGAUUUGGUUUGAUUUUUUUAAACCAAACAUUAAUUUGAUUUGAUUUGGUUUUAGCAAAAAUCAAACCAUAUAACCGAAUGCACAUCCCUAGUCCUUAUCCCUUGUAUAACUGCUGCAAUCUAGUCCUGAAAACUGCCAAUCAGUCUGCAUAAUGCUGGUUGAGAUCAUGCUUCUGAAAAGUAGGAACAAACUAGCCCACUAUCUUUAGGCCAUGAUAAAACCAACUUCCAUUUAUUCGAACGUGACCAACUCCACAAGACACAUUAUUCAUGCACUAAAGAAUAUGAAAACAUAAAAGAUAGGGAAAGAUAAAAUACGUGCAAUUACUACUAGUGAGUUGAAGUACAACUUCAAGACAGACACCCGAAAUAUUAGUUGUAUAUCGAAAAUGUUAAUAACAAAAUGUUAUCAAUAUUUCAUUAAACACUGAUGGAGCCAACAUUGACUCUAACAAAAACAUUAUUCAAAUACACAUUUCCAUGAAAUCUAGAUUAACAGCAACCCCAUAAAUCAACUUCGCCUUCUCGACGCCAGAAGUCAUGAUGCACAUUUUAAUGAUGAAUGUGAACGUCAUUUUAUUCACGCCAAUACCUUGAAAAAUCAUCAAAUUGUUAACCUAAAUCGCUCAUUAAUGUGUGUUCUGAUUAACAGAUUCCAAAUGAACGUGGACAUAUAUAUUAUCAAUAUGUUGGAACAUUAGGGCGGUGUAAUUGAACUCCCAAUAUAAAGUACAAAGGCGAAUCAAUCUGGCGACUAUUACUUGGUCGUUGUGGAGAAUGUUGUGGGUGAUUUUGGCGUGGAUUUGUCAUGCGAAAUUUGGGUUUUUAACUCAAUGCGAAAUUUAUCCUGUAAAAAGAUUGAGUUUUUGGAAAUAAAAUAUCUAGUGUGAUAUUGUUUUAUUCAGUAAAAAACAAAGUUUUAUUGGUGGUGGGAUGUUGAGUCCACCUAGACAAAUUCUGACUUCCACGUCAAUUUUAAAUUUGAGAAUUUAAUUUCAUAGAAAAAUCAUAAUAAAUUGAACUUUUAUAUAUUACUAGCAUUUGCAUCCCGUGCAAUGCACGGGAAAAUAUUUUUUAUUUUUUAUAUUUAUAUAAAAAUUAAUACUAAUUUAAUUAUCAUACUCAUAAAUAUAAUAAAAUUUAAUUUUAACUAAAUAUAUUUGAAUUGAAUAUUAAAAAAUUUAAAAAUAAUAAGAAUUUACAAUUAUAAAAUUUGAUAUUAUGAAAGCAAAAAAAGUAAAAAAUAAAAAAAAUACUAAUAAAAAAUUAAAAAUAUAUUUUUUUUCAAAAAGAUGAGAAAUGCGAGAGAAAAUUAUAAAAUUUUAAUAUUUAAACAAAUUUAAUUUUUACAUUUAAAUCAAAUAUUUACAUAAAACAUAUCAAAUUAAAGCUCUUAUCGUGAUCUUUAAUUUGAUAUGCAUAUUAAAUAUUUUAUAAUUAAUCGAAUUUCACAAUUUUGGUAAGAAAUAAAACAACAAAUAAUAAGUUAAAGAGAUGAAAAAUAAAAAGAAAAAUAUAGUUUAAACAUAAACCUUUAAUUUUAUUAUAACUAAUUUUUNNNNNNNNNNNNNNNNNNNNNNNNNNNNNNNNNNNNNNNNNNNNNNNNNNNNNNNNNNNNNNNNNNNNNNNNNNNNNNNNNNNNNNNNNNNNNNNNNNNNNNNNNNNNNNNNNNNNNNNNNNNNNNNNNNNNNNNNNNNNNNNNNNNNNNNNNNNNNNNNNNNNNNNNNNNNNNNNNNNNNNNNNNNNNNNNACUAAUAUCCCUUAAAUUAUGAACAUUGAUGUUAGCACUUAGCACACCGUGCGUUUACUCGAAUAAAAUACACGAGACACCAAAAUCUCCACAUAUUCCGCAACUAAAACACUAUAAAUUAGUGAAACGUAACAAUUAUUAUCUCUUAUCUAAAAUGAAAAACAAAACAAAGAUCUAGAAGGCCGGUCGGUCAAACCUCAAACUGUUACUCGGAAAUAGUUUGUGAAGUCCAAGUAAUUUUUAGGAAUGUUCACAUUAUGGAUGCACAAUUAUGAUAAAAUAAAUAAAGAUUAUAGAUUUAUCCAAUUUAAAUAAUAAAAGUCAUCAAUAUAUUCAAUUGAGAAUGAUUUAAUAAUAAAAUGAAUAUCUAUAAAUUUAAAGGUCUUGAAUUUAAACACUUUUACAUAUUCAAGCUUAUAAUAUCGAUUUUAAAAAUAAUUUACCCGUCUUGUAUAAUUUACAGACUAUUACACAUAUGUGGUUCAGUCAACACGCCAAAAAUAGUGGUUGCAGUUUCCUUAAAAAUAAAAAGAAAUCUCAAAUCUCAAUUCCUUGUGUUUUAAUUUGAUUUUAUAUUUUACAGUUAUUAGAAUGGCAAAUGCAUGUAUCCAUUAAUUUAUUGAGUAAAUUAAAUGUAUAAAUAUUUUUAUACAUAUAGUGGCCUGGUGGAAUAAGAGAAAAAUGUUUAGAGCUCCUCUAUCUUUUUUAUAUUUAUAUGAGAUGGAUUAUUAUAUACAAAUUCAUAGGAUUUGCUUUCAUAUUCGUGGCCGAAGGCUCGAAGCCUACCCCGACCUCCGCCACUACAUAUACAUUUAUUUUGUUUAAAUGAUGAAAACAAAUUAUGCUAUUGUCAAUUCAAGUCAAGUUUGUUUCGGUUCUAUCUCACAAAAGUAGCUAGAAAUUAUGGAUCAAGUAUAACCUUUUAAAUAAUAAUCUUGAAGAUAGAUUUUAUGUGACAAUAUUAAAUCCAACUCGAACUCGAUGAUAGUAAUAACUAAUAAAAGAACAUAAAAUGAUCAAUUUACUAGAUUUUGGUUCAAAUGUGGCUCAAUUAAACAUCAAUUUUAAUUUUACCAAAUAAAUUCAAUUUUGAUAAAAUUGAACAAAUCUAAUAGUAGUAAAAUUAAAACCACACUAUAUAUAAUCCGUUCGGUUCAAUCCAUUUAAUAAAGUGAAAUAACAUACUCGUAUAUGUAAACUUUGGCGCUUAGUCUUGACAGAUAAAAGUAACAAGAUUAAUCUUUUGCUUAUUUUAAUGAAUUGAAAUUUUGAAUAUUUCAAAAAUUUUGAUUAUUUUUAUUAUUUAAAUUAAUUUUAUUUGAUUCAUAUCUUAUUAAAAAAAUAAAUUAAAAAAAGGUAUAAUAAUCAAGUUCAAUCGUACAAAGCAAAUGUCUUGUGCCCCUCUGAUCGAAGAAACACACACAAGAGAAAUUUAUUCCGAAAUCAUGCAUAUAUUGUGGCAGGCACAUAUCCGUCUCUAUAUAUGUAAGCAAUAUUCUUGAUUAGUGGAUAUGAAUAGUUGCACAUGAAGCCAACUAUUGUCUCUCAAAGUCAAAGCCAACAACAGCCAAACAAAAUUUUCGUCAAACCUAAACCAAUAAUCUCGCAAUAUUAACAACCAUUAAUUUAAAAAAUAAAAUAAAAAAUGGCAAAAAGAAGAAGCAAUUCUCUCAUUAGCUGACACCAAACCAGUGCAACACCGACUAUAAACCAGUGUCAUCAUAAUUGAUAAUGCUAUAAAAUAGGAGGAGAGAGAAAGAGGAGAGAGAAGCAGGGGAGGGUCUGCAAAGCAACCUCUCUUCUUUGGAUCUCUCAAUUGUUUUAAUAUAUCAUAGUUGAUUUCAAUAGGUACAGGUAUUUGAUUCAGGAGAGAAAAACAUAAAAAAAGAAAAGAAAAGAAAAAGUGGGUAUUUUCUAUUGUAAUUUGCUGGCCCAUUUUGUUUGUCUUAUAUGUUCUCAAUUUUCUUGAAAAGGUGAUUGAUUUAGGAUCCCUUUUUUGUGUAGUAGUCAAUUUUCUUUUUUCUUUUUAAUUCUUGGUUUGUUUCUUUGAGAAAAAAGUUAUGAGCCAAGUUCGUGCAAAUUCAUCUCCUGACUUGGAUUUUCCCAGUACAGGAAAGGAUCAAAGAUAUGAUGAUUUGGCAUUACAAGGUACAAAUCUUGAUUUUUCUUACGUUGUAGUAAAUGAAAUUUUUUAUUUUUGUUUCUCAAUUUGUUUCAUUAUAUGUCAUGUUGUAAAGUUAUGGCAAUUUCAAUUUGAGAUAUGGAAUUAUGUUGUUUUUAUUGUUCUUGCGCGCGCUCUCUCUCUUUAUCUCUCUGCAAAUCUUGAUGUACAACGUUGUAUUAGGCUUGAUUGUGUUGUUAUUUUGUUUUUCCUUAUUUUUUUUAUUUUUUUCAGACGUAGUAAUAAUCUUGAAUUCAUUUUUAAUUUGAUGUUGCAAAGUUGUGGGUAAUUUUAGUUUAAAUAAGCAAUUCUCUCGUAUUUUUUUGUUUUGCUAUGUUUUUGUUGUUCUCAAUCUAAUGAUAUCGGAAUGAAAUCUUGAUUCUUAGGGAGAAAAAAAAAAAGACAAUUCAUGAAAGUGAUGAACUAUUCAAGUGUUUGAUUGAUGGAUGUUAAAAAAAUUGAAUUGAUAUUUCAGGGGUAGCUGCAAAUGUAAAAUUACUGCUAAAACUAAUCCAAGAUCAUCAAUUAGCCUGUGAUCAUGACAAAAGUGAUCAUAGGAGAAUGUUGAGGGUAGCUACAAUGAUGACAAUUUUGGAUAAUGCGAAGGACAGAAUCCAGAAAUGCCAAUCAUUUGGCCUCAAGAAACCGGAUUCCGAGCUGAGGAGGUGCAACACCGACUUGCGCCGCAAUCCCGUCCCUCCGGGCAAAAAGCCCAGUGGUGGGGCGGGGGCGGUGGCCGUGGUGAUCGAGGAGGAGGAGGUGGACGAGGAGAAGGAGCGGUUGAGGCGCGAGCUGAGCUCGAGCAUAGCCGCUCAGAGAAACCUCAGAGCGAUGUGCUCGAGUUUAGGGAAGGAGAAGAAGUUCAUGGAGGCAGAGCUUUCCAAGAAAGUGCAUGAAUUGAGUGAGAUGGAGGAGCUUUUGAACAAUCUCAAGGCACAAAAUGAGACAUUGCGCCAAAAAGUUCAAGAAUGCCUCUCCGAUCACAAGGAGAGGAAGGCCGGUGGUGGUGGCGGAGAAAUGAGCGUGGCGUUGGUGUUGCAAGAGCGGAACAAGGCGCUCUCGGAGCAGUUGAUGAGGUCUCUUGAUGGUUAUAGAUCGAUGAAGAGGAAGCUCAAAGUGGCGCAAGAAGAGAAUACUAUGCUGCAUUCGACUGUGGAUGAGGUUGGGGCCAAAGUUGUGGGAAGUUUGGAGAGGGUUAAGAGUUUGAAGCAACGAGUGACCACGACGACAUCUCCUUCUGGGGGCGAAAUCCCCCUCGAUCUUCAGGAGGAGAUCGAGGGGUUAGAGGGCAUGUUUGAGUGCUUCCAAAUGUUGGUGGAGAAGCACGAGAAGAGGCGGGGCGACUGCGCGCAACCAAAUGGCGAGAUCAAUGCAUAUAAGCCCUCCGUUCUCGCAUGAGACUGGACCAAAGGAUUUUGGAGGGACUAACUUGAAUUUUUGUUGCUAGUAUUUUUGAUUUUUUGCUUUGGAUUAGUUUCUUUUUUGAUGCGAUGGCAUUGUUUGAAGAUGUGAUAUUGUCUUCAUUGUGUGUGAAAAAAAUAGCUGAUGAUUUCUAUAGGUCAUUAGCAUGUAAAUAGUUGUAUCAUAGUCUUCUUGUUUGAAGGCAACCUACAAAACAUUGGUUUUCUAGUAUAGAACAUUUUUAAGUGAAUGUGAUGCUAUGUUGCUGCUGGAAACUUUCGUGAUGAAAUAUUGCAAUCAUCAAGAAAAUCAUGUUUACGAUGUUUUAUGUAUUGGAGAUGCUCACUGAGUAAAUUAAUUUUAACAAAGAAAAGAGAGAAAAACAUCAAUGUUUAGAGUUUUUAUGUUUUUUUUAGUAAUUGAACGAGUUGCAUUGCUAUUCAAUCUAAUACUAUCUAAUUGGACAUCGAUAAAAAGAAUGCAUUUCAUGCGCAAGACAUUACUCACUAUAUAGAUUGGAGUUAAUCAUGAUUACUAGGAAUGACCAUUACCAAUAUAAAGUAGUGAAAACUAUCAAUCAAAGAGUUCCCAUUGGUUUGCAGAAGGAGAUGGUUCAAAUGUUUCCCAUGUAGUUGUCACAACCGAAGCUGGUACUUUCUGCUUCGCGUUUAGUACCUUCAGCACAUCCAGUUUUUCCACACACUUCUGCACUAUUUUUCCCUGCAAUAUAAUUAUUUUAUUUUAUUUUAAUUUAAUUUGCUCUUACCUUAUUUUUCAUAUAAAUCUGCAUUAGAGGUUUUUACAAUAAGAUAGUUAACUUUGUAAUUAAAAACCUAAAGUUUGUGCGAACUUAACUAUCAAAGUGUGACAAUCGAUAAAUAUAUAGGGGAUGGUCAAAACAUUAAUUCUUGCAUCAAAUGUCAACCGGAUAUAAUAAUAGGAAUGGUUACAGUUUAAUAGUAUUCAAACUAUGGACUAAUUGUGUAUAAUUUUAGUUAAAUAUUCCAACUAAUUGAUCUUGUAAUGAGAAUAUUCCAAACUAUACAUAAUUGUAAUUAAAUACUCGUACUAUCACAAAAUUAACAAAAAUACCCCAAAAUUCAAUCUUCAAUCACUUCACAGUUCGUUAGAUCAUGAUGUGGAUUUUAAAAAAUAAAUUAAAAAUGAGCUAGAUCAAAAGUCAAAACAACGUUACGCUGCUUUAGUGCAUAGAAGUUACAUAUAAAAGAAAUUGAACGAGCCAAGUAAUCUUUUCGCAACUGAAAAUUGAAUAUUUCUGUUAAUUUAUUUAGUGAUACUUUGGAUAUUUAAUACUGGUUAUGCUACGUUCAUAAAAAAUAUAAGAAUAAAGUGUGGUUUCGUGUCCUAAAACAAAAAACCAUAUACUCUUCCUAGAUAUCCAAUAAGGUAAUUGCGCCACACUAUUAAUGAACGAUGGAGUGAGUAAUAGUAAUUCAAGACAUUUUUGUGAAAAUAUCAAAAAAAUCGAAUACUACUUAACUACAUUAACGAGCAUGACAUUAUUGAAUACUUCAUCCAUCCCAUUUUAUUUGAUUUAGUUCUUUUGAAUACGAUUAUUUAAAAAAAUAAAAUUAUUAUAUGAAAAGUAUAUGAUUUAAUAGUAUUUAAUAUAAUAUUAAUUGAUUUUUUGAAAAAAAGAAAAAGAUAAAAUCAAACGAGACGGUUUAGAAAAAAAAAUAAGAAGUGUAAUUAAAUAGGAUGGACUAGGUAAGAAUUGAGAUGAAGAAAUGUAAAAGGAAGGGAUAAGGAUAAGCAUACUUGUGAGUCCUUGUAUGCACAUGCAUCAGCAGCCUCGGCAGCAGGAAUGUUAUCUAGUUUGACAGCUUGUUGCAUCAGCAUCUCGAUCAACGUUGUGAUCUGUAAUUCUGCUACUCUUUUCCCAUUUGCAAUUGAUUUCUCUAUUACACUUACCUAUAAUCCAAUGGAGAUAUCAAUUAUUUUAUUAAUUAAUGAUCUACAUGAUGGAUAUAUUUCUUCAAUGUACUAUAAAAGAUAAGGGGAAUAUUAUACUUUAUGACUUCAUCAUUUGGGUAAGUUUAAACAUAAUAUGACAUUUAACAUCUUUAAUAAAAUUAUACUAAUAAAGUCCUCAAUAAAACAUCAAGCGAUACGAACUUUUAUGUGUGAACAAUAAAAUUUAGGGUUCAAACUCCAUCGUUUCCCCUUCUCCAAGUAUAAAUAAAAUAAAAUUAUAAUAAUUAAUAAAACUCUAGUUUAAGUGAUAAAGUUGAGGUAUCAAAAUUUUCUUUUUGUAAAAAAUUAUUGAAUCAAGUUUCAUAAAUAUUGUGUAAAUUAUAUUUAUGGAUAGUAUUUUUAAGUAUUUAUUUAUUUAUUUAUUUAUUCUAGUUUAUACUAGUUUAAUUGUUGAUUUGACUACAGUACUAGCUUAUUCAAUUCAUUGUUAUUUAUAUUCAAUUUCAUAAUAUAAUAAUAUACUAUGUCAUUUUUGAAAAAAUGCCAAACUAGGAUUCAUAUAUUUUUUUAGAGUAAUGCUAAACAGCCACAUUAUGGCCACCCACAAUUUAUAUAAAUAAAAAAUAAUUUAAUUUAUUUAAUUUAUUUUUUUAAAGAAAAAUAAGAUUUAUUUUAUUAUAUUCUCUACACUGUAGUUAUUUUUUGCAAUUUUUUGGUAACUUUUUUAUUUUUAUUAAAAAAUAAAUUAAAUAAAUUAAGAUUUUUCUUAUUAUACUAGUGUGUGAGUGGCCAGAAUGUGGCUACAUAGAUUUAUUGAUUUUUUUAAUAGAUCAUUAAUUAUUUGUUAACUAAACCACCUAAAAGAAGCAUUUUCAUGAUUGAGAUGGAUUGAUUAUACUAUCAUCUUCUCUCUUUUUCGAUAAACAAAUAAUCUUAAAGAUCGUAUGACGAUUAGGUAUCACACACAAAGCUCUAAAUUUUCCUUCUUUUAAAAUUGCCGCCCCUGAAGAUCGCCUUCUCCGUCACCGCACAGUUGCAUCUAAAGGUCGCCGCCACCUUCAUCCACGAGGAAAGAAUGAUGACCUUCUGUAGAAACGAGGCCUUAAUAUGUGUGCCAACUGGGUCAUAAACCCUAAAAUUCCCAGAUCUAGCAACAACGAGGAAAGAGAGACAAGAUGUGGCGGGUAGAGAGAGGGGAGGUGGUGCAAAAGAAUAGAGGGAAAGAG
RNAcentral lists this long non-coding RNA (86991 nucleotides) under Salvia miltiorrhiza (redroot sage). Its description in RNAcentral is "long non-coding RNA (SMIL_LNC005392)". Lineage: Eukaryota; Viridiplantae; Streptophyta; Magnoliopsida; Lamiales; Lamiaceae. The record is from RNAcentral.